UUUUUUUUUUUUUUUAGUUUUUUUUUUGAGAUCACGUCGAGGACAGGAGAAUCCGGUAGAAAUCCGACGAAUUCAGCAGCGGGGGGCGACGAGAUCGGGAUCUGGUGGUGACGAGAGCUAGCAGGCAGUAGUUUUGUAGUAGAGCCUGGCUCUAAUCCGGAUCGGGAGCUGGUGGUGACGGGCUCUAAUCCGGAUCGGGAUUGGAUCAGCAGUGCCUGGAAUCCAGACGGGAUUGGAGCAGCAGCGCCUGGACAGCUUGAUGGAAUCAGCGACGGCUGGCAGCCUGGUGCGAGUCCUGAUGGAUUCCAGAUCUUGGAGCAGCAGCGCCUGGACAGCCUGAUGGAAUCAGCGGCGGCUGGCAGCCUGGUGCGAGUCCUGAUGGAUUCCAGAUCGGGACAACCUGACUUGGCGGGACAGGGAGGGAGCUGGGCGCCGGGACAAGAAGCUGCGGCGUCCAGAUGAGAUCGAGGCAGGGGCGACCGAACCAAGCGGGAGCUGGACGCCAAGAUCGAGGCAGGCGGUGACUGCAGGGAGACGAGAUUGGAUCGAAGCACGAGUUGCGCGUGCGAAAAAGACCUAAUGCUCUAAUACCAUGUUAGGAAUAAGCAACUUGUAUUCCCAUGAGGCCAUAGGCCGAUAUAUAUAUACAUGUACAGGUGAUGGACUAUAUGCAGGAAAACCCCUUAUAUAUUGGGAUAAAUACAAAAGGGUACAUGACUUGUAUUAUAACUCUAACAAAACACUUAAUCCUUCCCCUGGGCGAGCCAGUCAUCUCCAUCUCUGUGUGUGGCGAUCCUUAGCUAGUUUGUUCAGAGUGUGUGAUGUGGCGUGUGUGUUUGGUGUGUGUUGGAGGCAUGGGUGCUUUGCCCCCCUCUCUCUACUUUACUUCCACCUUAAUGACAUGAUCAGCAGCUCCUUGUGUUUUCUAGAAAAAAAACUGGUUACAUAAUGAACGUUGUAGUCCUGAAUUUUAAUUUUAGUCAUACUCUUAAUUCUUUUGAUUUUCAAAUCAUCAACGACCUAUUCUGUUUCUCAUACAAGUCUUGCUUUUAUAAUCUGCAGGAAUAUCUACAUAUGAUAGAGGAAGCUAAGAAACGUGAUCAUAGGUUAUUAGGGCAGUCCCAGGAACUCUUCUUUUUCCAUCCACUUAGGUACCUUCGCAUUUUUCCUAUCUGAUUUUGUUCCUUUUCAUAUUUUUAAUUUCUACAUCUUUACUUACCGGCCUGCUGUUAGAUAGCUCUUUGACAAAACUUUGCAACUAUGCAGCCCAGGUAGUUGCUUCUUCCUUCCAAAUGGCGCUAUAAUAUACAAUAAAUUGAUGGAUUUUUUGCGCAAGGAGUAUAGAGAGAGAGGCUACCGAGAGGUGGGUUUUAAUUUGUACUUCCUCUGUAAAGAAAUAUAAGAGUGUUUAGAUUAGUGAUCUAAACACUCUUAUAUUUCCUUAUGGAGGGAGUAGUAAUUAUCUUAGAUCGUCGACCGUUGAACUAUGUGGCCUUUUGUUUUUCUAUUCCUUAUGUGUGUUUAUUUAGGUUUUGAGUCCAAAUAUUUACAACAUGCAACUUUGGGAAACCUCUGGACAUGCUGCAAACUACAAGGACAACAUGUUUGUUUUUGAGGUAAGCACAUUUGCAGAUACUAAAGGAAAAUCAUAAGCGUGAUGAUCUAGAUUAUAUGGGUAGUGUGGUCUGACCUUUAUGGGUGCUUGUUUUUUCUCGUCUUGUGCAGAUCGAGAAACAAGAAUUUGGCCUUAAGCCAAUGAAUUGUCCUGGCCAUUGCCUAAUGUUUGGACACAAGGUUCGAUCAUAUAGAGGUAAAGUCCUCUCUUGCUGUUUAGAUUCCUUAUAUCUUGGUCAUGUUAAAAGUGCAGUCAUUCUGCAUGGUUAAAAAUGCUAGGUAUUAAAGGUAGGUCUACUAGGCCAUACAUACUAGGUACCCUCACUGGUUAUUAGAAAAAGCGCAUGUUAGGCCGAGUGCAAUUAUUACACACAUAGCUGCAUCAAGGUGGCGCACCCUAUCUAGUCAUCAGUACUUGGUUUCUUAGUUUCAGUCAACAACAACAACAACAACAAAGCCUUUCAGUCCCAAACAAGUUGGGGUAGGCUAGAGUUGAAACCCAUAAGAUCUCGAAGCCAAGUCAUGGCUUUGGAACGUGGAUAGCUAACUUCCACGCACCUGUGUCCAUGGCUAAGUCUUUGUCGAUAUUCCAAACCUUCAGGUCUCUCUUAACGGACUCCUCCCAUGUCAAGUUUGGUCUACCACGACCCCUCUUAACAUUCUCAGCACGCUUUAUCCGUCCGCUAUGCACCGGCGCUUCCGGUGGCCUCCGUUGAAUAUGUCCAAACCAUCUGAGAUGAUGCUGGACCAGCUUCUCUUCAAUCAGUGCUACCCCAAGUCUCGUAUAUCGUCAUUCCGUACCUGAUCCUUCCUUGUGUGGCCACAUAUCCAUCUCAACAUGCGCAUCUUUGCUACACCUAACUGUUGGAUAUGUCGUCUCUUGGUUGGCCAACACUCUGCGCCAUACAACAUCGCAGGUCGGAUAGCUGUCCUAUAAAACCUGCCUUUUAGCUUUUGUGGCACUCUCUUGUCAUAGAGUACGCUAGAAGCUUGGCGCCACUUCAUCCACCCAGCCUUGAUUCGGUGGCCCACGUCUUCAUCGAUAUCGCCAUCUUUCUGCAACAUGGACCCCAAAUAUCAAAACGUGUCUCUCUCCGGUACCACCUGCCCACCAAGGCUAACCUCUCCAUCCUCGUGCCUAGCACUAAAACUACACCUCAUGUAUUCAGUUUUAGUUCUACUAAGCCUAAAACCUUUCGAUUCUAGAGUCCACCUCCAUAACUAACUUUCUAUUAACCCCCGUUCGGCUAUCGUCGACUAGCACCACAUCAUCCGCAAAGAGCAUACACCAUGGGAUAUCUCCUUGUAUAUCCCUUGUGACCUCAUCCAUCACCAAAUCAAAAAGAUAAGGGCUCAAAGCUGACCCUUGGUGUAGCCCUAUUCUAAUCGGAAAGUCAUCGGUGUCGCCAUCACUUGUUCGAACACUUGUCACAACAUUAUCAUACAUAUCCUUGAUGAGGGUAAUGUACUUUAUUGGGACUUUGUGUUUCUCCAAGGCCCACCACAUGACAUUUCGAGGUAUCUUAUCAUAGGCCUUCUCCAAAUCAAUGAACACCAUAUGAAGGUCCUUCUUUUGCUCCCUGUAUCUCUCCAUCAGCUGUCGUACCAAGAAGAUGGCUUCCAUGGUAGACCUCCCAGGCAUGAAACCAAAUUGGUUUUUGGUCACGCUUGUCAACCUUCUUAAGCGGUGUUCAAUGACUCUCUCCCAUAGCUUCAUAGUAUGGCUCAUCAGCUUGAUUCCGCGGUAAUUAGUACAACUUUGAACAUCCCCCUUGUUCUUAAAGAUUGGUACUAAAAUACUCCGCCUCCAUUCUUCGGGCAUCUUGUUUGACCGAAAAAUGAGAUUGAAAAGCUUAGUUAGCCAUACUAUCGCUAUGUCUCCAAGGCCUCUCCACACCUCAAUGGGGAUACCAUCAGGACCCAUCGCCUUGCCUACUUUCAUCCUUUUUAACGCCUCCUUAACCUCACACUCCUGGAUACAUCGCACAAAGCACAUGCUGGUAUCAUCAAAGGAGUCGUCUAGCUCAAUGGUAGAGAUGUCAACCUCUCCAUUGUAAAGGUUGUCAAAGUACUCCCGCCGUCUACGCUUGAUCGCCUCAUCCUUCACAAGAAGCUGAUCAUCUCCGUCCUUGAUGCAUUUGACUUCAUCGACAUCCCUCGUCUUCCUCUCCCUAAUCUUGCCAUCUUAUAGAUGUCCCUUUCGCCUUCCUUAGUGUUGAAACGUUGGUAGAGGUCCUCAUACGCCCGACCUCUCGCUUCACUCACCGCCCGCUUUGCAGCCUUCUUCGCCACCUUAUACUUCUCCAUGUUAGCUGCACUCCUGUCCAGGCAUCUGAAACAUUCCUUCUUCUCCCUAAUAACCUUCUGGACCUCAUGGUUCCACCACCAAGUGUCCUUAGCUUCCCUUCUACUUCCCUUGGUCACCCCAAACUCCUCUACAGCGACCUUCCGCAAGAAGGUCGCCAUACUCGUCCACAUCAAGUUUGUAUCGCCUCCUUCCUCCCAAGGGCCCUCCUUAAUGACCCUCUCCCUGAAAGCCUGGGAUGCCUCCCCCUUGAGCUUCCACCACUUCGUUCUAGCGACUUUGGCGCGCUUAUCCCGUUGGACACGAAUCCUAAAGCGGAAGUCAGCAACCACAAGCUUAUGUUGAGGGACAACACUCUCUCCUGGUAUCGCUUUACAAUCAAUGCAAGCGCGUCUGUCUUCUCUUCUAGAGAGGACAAAAUCAAUCUGGCUAGAGUGUAGACCACUACUGAACGUCACUAGAUGGGAUUCUCUCUUCCUAAAGAGGGUGUUAGCUACAACCAUGUCGUAGGCUAGAGCGAAGCUCAGGACAUCUUCUCCUUCUUGGUUCCUGAUGCCAUAGCCAAAGCCCCCAUGCACCCUUUCAAAACCUGUGUUAGAUCCACCCACAUGGCCAUUGAGGUCUCCUCCUAUGAAGAGCUUCUCACCAAUAGGUCCCCUCCUAACCAAGUCCUCCAGGCCUUCCCAGAACUCCCUCUUGGUGCUCUCAUUGUGGCCUACUUGCGGGGCAUACGCGCUGAUAACAUUGAGGACUAAGUCCCCAACUACCAGCUUGACAAGGAUCAUCCGGUCCCCUUGCCUCUUAACGUCCACAACUCCAUCCCUAAGGCUCUUGUUGACCAAGAUGCCUACUCCAUUCUUGUUUGAAGUUGUCCCCGUGUACCACAACUUGAAGCCGGUAUCCUCCACCUCCUUCGCCUUUUGUCCCUUCCAUUUGGUCUCUUGGACACAUAGGACAUCAACACACCUCCUCACCGCCGUAUCAACUAGCUCCCGUAAAUUACCCGUCAGGGACCCUACGUUCCAGCUACCUAAGCGUAUCCUCUUAGUUUCAGUACCUUGCAAAAUUGAUAUGAUGGUGAUCAUAAAGCUUCUUCCUUUCUGAAAUAUUUUUCCUGUAAGAUUAUCUAUUUUAUUGGUACUGUGAGUCGCACACUUAUUAUCUAGCAGUCAGUGCUUUAUCUCAUUGUCAUUUUGGUGAACUGUUCUUUAAUGCGAAAUCUCAUGAUAUUCAAUUGCAUGCAGCAACUAAUUCACCCAAAACCUCAAAUUGAUGGAGAAAAGUUGGCAUUAUCGGUAUGCUCAGUUUGACAAGCUUGCCUGGCUUGUAAAACUAUUUGGCCAUGGUUUUGGUUGCCCAUUAGUUGGCCAGUGUUAGCAAAAAAAGAACUAGAGUUGGCAAAGAGGCAUUGGCAUGGCUACGCAACCAAUCCAGACAAAAAAAUGUAAAAAAUUUGCUGGAUUUUGCCCUACAUAAUAUGCUGUUGUAGGCAUGAGAUGAGGGAUCGAUGUAGGUUACAAUAAUUUUGAGAAUACUUAGUUGCCUGGGCCUUGAAUUCAAAGUCUCUUGGCUCUGAUACCAUAUUGAGCUGCAUGCACCAACCAGUUCACCUAAAAGUUUGAACUGAUAGAGUUUGGCUGGCAUCGUAUGGAGGACACAGUGCGCAACAAUCCAUGCCUUAUCUAGCUAGAGGAACCUGGGCCCAAGAUCACAAAGAUGAUUAGUUUUGCGUCCAGUGUCCAAUAAAUGUUAAGUACUCAAAUCAAGGAAACCUCUGCAUUCACAAUUUGAACUUUUAGUUGUCUACAACAAUAAAUUGGGCUUCUCUAAUACUCUUAGAGGGAAUUCUGUCUGCUGCUGUAAUAUGGAUUUGAUCAGUUGAGCUAAUCCUAGCAAAUUUGUUUAAUGAAAUGCUGCAGAGUUGCCUCUCCGCAUGGCUGAUUUUGGAGUUCUGCACAGAAAUGAACUUAGUGGUGCACUUACAGGUUUGACACGUGUCAGAAGAUUCCAACAGGUAAAGUCUAAUGUGGUUCCAUGAAUCUUCAGUUUCCAAGAUAAAAAGAAGUUACUAUUUCUGAUUAGCUCCAUACUUAGAUCAUUGUUUUGUUUUAUGUUCCUUUCAGGACGAUGCCCAUAUUUUUUGCACGGAGAGCCAAGUAAGUUUGUGAUACAUAGACUAUCCCUUUUUGAUGCAAUUGGAAUUGUAUUAUGCUUCCUUGUAAACAUUUUUGCUGCAUGAAUAUUUUCACAUCCCAGACAGUAGUUGUAUCGUGGUUUGGAUUAGUUUAGCACUUGAGCUGGUUUGUGAGUUUGUGUUAUUGCGUACCUAUUUAAGUUAUUUCGUUGGUGCAGAUCAAAGAUGAAGUUGGGGCUUGCUUGGAGUUCAUUGAUUAUGUUUAUAAAAUAUUUGGGUUUCAGUAUGAGUUGGAGUUAUCAACGGUAAUCAUAAUCUCAUCCUUUUAUUUACUGAUAACAUCUGCAGCAACAACUUCUAAUACUUACUCCCUCCGUCCCAAAAUAAGUGUAUUAAGCUUAGUACAAAUUUAUACUAGAGCUAGUACUCCCUCCGAUCCUAUAUACUCUGCGUAUAACUUUUUUUGUUUUUUUCCCAAAUGCUCUGCGCGACCCCCGUUGAGUAGGGCCACUUUCCCAGCAUGCCCCUGCCUUCCGCUUCGCUAGCAAUUAAUCCUCUUAAUUGGGGCAGCCUCCUAGUUUACAUGCAGAGACAUAAGUAGAGGAGAGAGAGAUUACCUGGGACAUGCAGGGAGGGAUACGAGGAGACUAAUACUCUAAUCUCCACAAAAGCAGGGGCAAACUUGUCCAGAAAAUUUCGAACGGGUCUCUCCUUAGUAUUUGAGCCAUGAGUUAUGCGCAAAAGUAAAAAAGAACGGGGGGAGUACAAAGUUAAGACAGUUAUUUUGGGACAGAGGGAGUAUUUGACAAUUCUCAUGAAAUGAUGAUGCUGAAAGGUUGCAACUUUACUUCACUGAAUGAAGUAAAAUUAUGAAGUACUCCCUCCGUCCCAAAAUAAGUGACGUGGUUUUAAUUCAAAUUGAAUUAAAACUAUGUCACUUAUUUUUCAACUGAGGGAGUACAAUUUAGUGGACAGCCUUGUUUGAUUGCUUCAUUCUCUUUAGCACAUACUCCCUCUGUCCCAAAAUAACUGUCUCAACUUUGUACUAGAUCUAGUACAAAAUUGUACUAAGCUUAAGACACUUAUUUUGGGACGGAGGGAGUAUUUGAUAACCACGACUGAAGUUGAAUCAUAACAUCAUGCAUAUAUAUUGACAGUAUUAUUUAUUAAUAUGGCACUUUAUCAUUUUAUAUUUAUCCUUACGAACGUACUGAAAAUCUUAGCAAUGAGGCAUCAUGGUAUUCAUAGUCACAUUUCACCUGUUAUUAUGUUUGUGGAAUAUAUAUAUAUUUGUGGGUUAGUUAUAGGUGGAUGAACCGCUGGCCUGGUUAAUGAAAUGCCUAACGAUCUCUCUUUUGGCAUUCUAAGGCAUCUAACACUAUAGUCAAUUGAUGUCAUGUCAUCCUUUCUCUGCGGGACUGCACAUUUUCCUAUACUUGGCGUGUACAGUAAUAUGUGAAUCAAUUCUCAGCAUCUUGAAGAAUACAUAUGAACAUGUGAAUAUUGUUAAAGAUGAUAGAGAGCAAAAUGGCUACUCCCAAAUAUUCAUCUUGUUCCACUAGCGUAUCCUACUCUCUCAGUUUAGAAAUAAGUGACGUGCUUUUAGUUCAUAAGUAGUUGAUCCCCACUAGGACGCGGACGAGGAGCUCGCGGGUGUUCACCACCCUAUAUCUGCACCUGUGAUUUCUUGCAUCGGGAUUGUUGCAUUAGAAGCUUAAUGAAGUAGCUGGUUAGGAAUACACCAUUCCAAUACGAUGAUACACAGUGAUCUCCUGCUGUGUGCUUACAAAGUCAAUGUUCUGAAUUAAUGUCAUAUGUGCUUGCAUGAAAAAAAAGUCUCAUGCCAGUUAUAAGUGUAGCAAUUAAUAUGACAUUUAGUGUUGGAUGGAGCUGACACCUUAUGCUGGGCAUUUAUUCAAAGACAAUAGAGAACGCGUUAAGCCUACCCACAGUGGGGAGUACCUUAGAGUAGUAACAUGCAUAUGUUACUAGUCUAUGUUACUACCUCUAGUGGGGAGUAACAUAUAUUUGGUGUCAUGCAACACUUAUUUUAUUAGGUUAUAGACUCAUCUUGUCUUGGUAUGUGUGAUGUUGUGAGUAGCUAGCUAUGUUACUCAAUUUGUCGCUCUCCAUACUAAUUAGCUGCCGCAUCAUCUUUUAUUCUUAGGUGUCAUCUAUGUUACUCCCACUGUGGGUAGUCUAAGUGUUACUAGUAUUAGUUGAUUCUGCAUUUAAUUUCUUCUUUCCUUGAUAGUGGUUUUCUUUUUCUACUUUUGUGGUGGAUUGGCCGAUUUUGAAUAUUUGUAGCAACCAGGGGCUUUCUAUUGUGAUUAUGUGACGAUUUUGUACAUGGGUAUUAGAUUACAUUAGUUCUGAUUGUGAUGAUUAAUUGCACCUUUCUUGGAAUUAGUAUCAUUAAAUUCCCAGCUUUCUUAGAAGAGAAUAAUACCUGAGAUUACUAUGGAAAAGGUUUCUGGAAUUAUUAUCAUGAUGUACUCAGGUUUUCCCUUAAGAGAAAAUAAAUAAAUAUGAAAUAUCUUGUAAAUCGCUCAAAUCUAAUUAGAUAUUUUCCCAGGAAUCAGUAUCGUAAAAUUUAAGUUUCCCAGAAAGUUGUAAUUUCGUGAAAUGGCUUUUAAGUUUGAGACGAAUGAGUUGAAGGCAGGUGAAAACCAGAUGAAAUGGCUUUUAAGUUUGAGACGAAGUAGUUGAAGGCAGGUGAAAUGACUUUUAAGUUUGAGACAAAGGAGUUGAAGGCAUUCAGUGAAGUUGUGACCAUUGCAGUAGUAAAUGUAGCUUUAGUUGUUUGUUGUAGGGUGGGCCAGUACAGGAAUACAACGCUAGCCUCUUUUAAAUCAAAAACAUACAUGGGACUAAAAUGACAAAUACAUAUUGUGGUGCAGAUCCAUAUGCAAUUUCGAUCCCCACUAACUCAAUUCUCUUAACAUGCAACUAUGCCAACUCACCAUGUCACCAUGCAUGCCCCACUAACUUUAAUUCUCUCGACAUGCAACUAUGCCGACUCACCGUGUUACCAUGCAUGGAAAUGACCCACCUUAACAAGCACCAUGCUUGCUACUCAUAUUCAAUAAACAUUCUACAAUGAUAUAAUAAUCAAAUAUAACAAAUUAUAUGUACUUUAGUUUCAGUUUCUAUAUUGCUAAUCCAAAUACUAAAGUUUCAUAAUGCCAAAUCUCAUAGAAAUAACUGCAAAAACCUAUCUCUGGGCUCUCCCUGUUAACAUAUUGCACUACAUAUCCCUCUACCACAAUAUUUGUUGUUGGAGAAAACUAGUCUAGUUCUCCCCAACAAGUAUUUAGGAACAGAGGGAGUAGCAUCUAAUAUAUAGUUGAUGGUUAUUAGUUAAUCCUCCAAUCUGCUCAAAAUAAUCUCAUGAAUGUUUACCUUUUCAGAGACCAGAGAAGUAUUUAGGCGACAUUGAGACCUGGAACAAAGCAGAGCAACAACUGACAGAAGCAUUGAAUGAGUUUGGGAAGCCAUGGAAGGUACCUUUGCGGAGUUGUGCAUUUAUACCAUAAUUUUCCUGUCACCCAUUGCUGCUAGAUGUGCAUUUAUAGCAUCUAGUACUUCCAGGGAAUGCUUGUUUUUUUUGGCUUAGUUGCAUAUAAGCUUAGGCAAAGUGUGACUUGCCACAAAGGUGUAGCUAACAAAAUCCACACAAGUUGGCCAUAUUCUGUAAAAGGCUAUAUGCCACAUGGACUGUGUGAACAAUUAAGUGUGGCAAGCCACAGUUGUGGUGCAAACCAAGAACAAACCUAAGACAGGGAUGUGUGUCCAGGAACCAAACAGGGUGGAUACCAGAUAUCUAUUUUUGCAUUAUAUUUCUCUGAUUCCUGUAGAAAGAAUGUGAAAUACUCCCUCCGUCCCAAAAUAAGUGUCUUAAGCUUAGUAUAACUUAGUAAUAGCUCUAGUACAAAGUUGAGACAGUUAUUUUGGGACAGAGGGAGUACUACUCAAGGUCAUUUACAGAAAGAAAGCAAAAUAUAAGCAAAAUGAUACAAAAGGUUCACUUACUGGGUUAUAUUCUUGCAACCCCAAGUUACGAAUGCUAAUAUUGAAGUUAUCUUUAAUUUGUCUUGUGACUGAUUUGGUUUGUAUCAGUGGUAGCCGUAUUUACCAAUGUUCUUGUUGCAUUGAAAGAAACUGCCAUGCUUGGCUCUUUCUUAAACCCCAGUCUGUCAGUACUUACUUGGAUAUCCAUGUGCAGAUAAAUGAAGCAGAUGGUGCUUUCUAUGGCCCGAAAAUAGAUAUUGGUGUGUUUGAUGCCCUCAAGAGGAAAUUUCAGUGUGCAACUCUACAGGUUCCCUUUUAUGUUCUGUUAACAUCAACUAUAGAGAAUAUAAUUGUCUUGUAUUUAACCCUUAUUGUCUGUUGCAGCUCGAUUUUCAGCUGCCACUUCGCUUCAAGUUGACUUAUUCUGCAGAGGAUGAAGCCAAGCUUGAGAGGCCUGUAAUGAUACACAGGGCAAUACUAGGAUCAGUUGAAAGGAUGUUUGCCAUUCUUUUGGAGCACUAUAAUGGUAAAUGGCCAUUGUGGUUAAGCCCCCGACAAGCCAUUGUUUGCUGUGUAUCUUCCAAUUCACUAGCAUAUGCAAAAGAGGUAAAUUGUCCUUAUCUGAGAAUUGAUUAACUUCAGAGCUCUUCUCUAUGCUGACUAAUAAUUGAUAUCUCCUACCUGACUGUUUUUUCACUUGGCGGUCCUUAGCAGUUUAAUGGUGUCUUUGUUGGUCCUUUGUGCUGAUCUAUUUGGCAGUUCUUUUCUUUUCCUUUUGAAUUCAGUUGCUAUGUUCAUGAACUUUGAAUUGGCCAGUGAAUUCAAAGUUCAUGAACGGCAUAUUUGAGUUUCUGUCAUAUAACCCGUUUCACUAUGAUAAUGCCCCACUUACCUCCUCCCCCCGCCACCACGCCGGGGGGGGGGGUGCAUGUUAAGUUGUGUUUUGUCCACAACUUUCGUUGUAAAACCUGUCCACAGUAUGGACGAAUUGAACCAUGUGAUUUUGCAUGCUUGUCAUUAUGUGUGCUAGGACAAAUUUCUAUCGGAACUCUUGCAGACGUGCCACAGUGGUGUUGUUUCACUCCGCCCCAUUAAAGACCACCUUAAAACCUGCUGUUGUUGGUUUUAGACCUAGUCCAGAAUGGGUAAAUUUGGUAUUCAUAAUGACCAGCUAUAGGGCACUUGCUCUCUACUGUCUUGUGCCUCUGCUCGCCCCAGGCGUGGAAGAGAGGCUCUGUGGUUCAUUGGAACUUUUGUUUAUUGAUCUGUUGUCUAAAGAAGUACACGCUAGUCCUUUAUGUACAACAGUUAACUUGAUCCACAAGUUGGAUCAGAACAAGAACUCCUGACCAAGUUACAGCUCUAUCUUCCUACCUUAAUUGGAUUCUAUGUAAUUUAAGGAUGAUUCAUAUCCAACAUGGACACUUAUACUCUUUCUAUUUUGUCCUACACCGUUCCUAAUAUGCAUGUACAAACCUACCCAGGCUUACCGCAUGGCUGCUGCAUAUAGGACUUGAAGCCCAUACCAUCGUUGGUAUUGCUUGUCUAUAAUUGUCCAAAAUGCAUUAAUCCAUGUCGAGGUUAAAUUGCAUAGUUACUUUUUGUUGGUGCAUAAUGCUUUUGGCUGGGAAGUUCUGUUUCAUUCCCUCAGCUUUUGAGUUCUCUGUUGAAGCCUUUACUUCAAAGAAAUUCCAGAUUUUUUUAAUCUUUAGGUUAUGAUUCUAGAUUUGGUUAACAGUGUUCUGAUAUCACUACAAUGUAGGCCAAAGGAUCUACCAGUUCGACUGAGAAUCAAUGUUUAUUUGUAGACCCAGCUCACUAGGUUCUAUCAGUGUCUGGCCCAAUCAUAUUCAAAAUCCUAGUUUGAUCCUGUAUCAGAAGGAACACUAGCUAUAUGCUUAACACACACAAGCCGAAUCAAAACUACUUUUCAUGGCACAUUACAGUAGGUUAUUAUAUCCAAAGCUGUGGGCUUCUUAUGGGCCUUUGGAAAAGUUAUUUAUUUGAGCUUUGUUUGCAAUGAGUCAUUAGUUCCUGGAAAGAAUGGGGAUGGAUUUUAAACAGUCUCAUGUUGAAAUGAUGGUUACUCAUUUGGAUUGUCUCUGCUGUGUUCUUAUUGUUUAAUCAUUUAAUGUUGAUCUAUUUCUUGAUUAAUGUAAAACAUAAGCAUACAAUUAGACGCUUAUAUUAUGUAGUCCGUGUUUAGAUUAGGCUCCAUUGUGGAUUAGCAUAUUCCAAAAGAUAUUGGAUGGACUAGUAUUGGAACUAUAUUAAUCAUAACAUAAAUUGUUUACAGUCUAAUAAUUGUUCUCUGGGAAAACUUGAUUUCACAAUGCAGGUUAAAUUUGGAUGUGUUUACAUUACAUUAGGACACAAAGCAAAAAUGCAAAGGUGGACAUGGUAUCAGGCGCACCCAUGUGCAUAGUAAAUUCAUAAAAAAUACUGGAAAAUUUUAAAAAAUUCUAAAAAUUCCUGGCAAGAAAUCCAAUCGACCAUUGUGCUCACGUGGGAAGUUUCUUGAAGUAUUGACACCCAUGGUUUUCUUAGUGAAGAAAAUACAAUUGUGAUCAUACUAUUCAUCAAACAGUGUAUUUUAAUAUAGCUUCGAUUUUGUCAUUUUUGCCCAGAUUACCGCGGAUAUGAUUUUUUCGUGAAACUUCAUACGCGAGUAUACUGGUUGACUAUGUAUAUUAAAAAAUAAAUUCAGUUUUUUUUUAGUUUUCUAGCAUUUUUUCGAAUUUAGUAUGCAUAAGGGGUGCGCGUGAAACCAUGUUCACCAAAUCCGUGUCACUAAUCUAUUUGCUUCUCAUUCUCAGGUUCAUGCUCAGAUACACGCAGCUGGUUUUCAUGUUGACAUUGACAUGACUGAUAGAACAAUUCAAAAGAAGGUAAUCGGAUCUUGCCUUUUAGCGCACUUGCUUACCUUCUGUUGUAAAGUAAAGAUUGGUGGGUUGUACAUGUACCUCACAAUAUUCGAAAAAAACUCUGAGCGGAACAUAGGAAUUCACAGAUGUCAAGAAUAUAUUAAACACAUUUAUGUGCAAAAAUAACACCUCUGCAUCUUUUUAAAAUUAUUACUCCCUCCGAUCCAUAAUACUUGUCGCUCAAACGGAUGUAUCUAGACGCAUUUCAGUACUAGAUACAUCCAUUUGAGCGACAACUAAUAUGGAUUGAAGGGAGUAUUGUUAUUAUUGAUUAUUGAAGUGCGCAACUAGGCAACUGAAAUAUCACAAAAUUUGCAUCCUUCAAAUCAUCAUUCCAGGUGCGGGAGGCUCAGUUAGCCCAAUUCAACUAUAUUCUAGUCGUGGGCGCAAAAGAGGCAGAGUCUGGAAAGGUUUGACUUCUCUCACCCUUGUAAAAAAGGCCAUUGCAGAUUAAACCUAGCAUAUCUGUUUUAUUUGUCGGGAAACCUUGAAAGGUUAGGGUGAUAUAAUCAGCUAUUUUGUUUUUUGAAUCUGUUGGGAAACUAUAGCAUGGAAUAUCUAUUACUAGUAUUAGGAAGGCUUAAUUUGUAUCUAUAUCCCCUGCUUUCAUUGUUGGUAACUUUGAAUUCCAUUCAGCGUGCAUGGACCAAUGCAUUAGGUGCUUGUUUAUUUAUUAAAGUACACAUGUGUCUGCGAAUGGUAAAUCAUGUACCAGGCCAUGUUUGACUGCGGUUUUACUGUUGGAAGUCCAAAACUGACCAUACAGUUUACAUCAGCAACAGAAGGAUCAUUUGGAGUAGUUCAUAUGCUUGCCUGGUUAUUUUGCCUGCCCUCGGAUUGAUUUGGCGCACUGAUUAUGGUUCCAUAUGAAAUGCUGAAUUAUCUUUAAUGACCUGUAUGUACUGUUGCAGGUCGUCCUGAGGGUAAGAGACAAGGCAGACCUAUCCACAGAGAGCAUUGCUGACGUCAUUGCACGUUUCAGUGACGAAGUUGCGUCUUUCAAGUGAUUUUUAAGUCCCAUAAUCUUUUUUGUGUUAGACAUGUACUGUGCAACCCACAUUGUAAUUUGGUGAAGUGAGGUGAAUGAAAAAUCAUUGAUAUUUUAUUUUUGUUGUCACAUGUACAUUAACUGCCAUUAAUCAAUUCUAAGGGCCUCCUUGAUUUGAAAGAUUUUCAUGGAAUUGUUUGGGGGAUUAGAACUUGGGAGCUUUGCCCAUGUUUGUUAGUAGAAUAGUAGGAUUGAAUCGUAACUGGGAAAAAUCAUUUAUUUUCCCUAUGGUACAACAUCGAACACAUACCAUGCGAUGACUUGGCAAAGAUGCCUUUGUGGGUUCCAAAUCAGUGUUGUUUGUCCCUCCUCUUAGGACAAUCUAGAAGAUUGGUGGCUUACUGCUUGGAAGAUCUUUGCAAAGAAGGAUAAAGAGGAUUUGACUCUUCAGUUAUCUUCAUUUCCUGUAACCUUUGGAGACAAACAAAAGAAUGCCUGUGUCUUUGUGAAUGUGAGGCAGCAACACCCUUACUCUGUAAAAAUUCCCCUCAAAGUCAAAAGAGGACGGUUCAGGAUCCACAAACUCUCUGAACUUUGAUGCAAGUGCUUCACCUUGCCAAUAUAGGCCGGUGGGAGUUCAAUGAUCCGUGCCCAGAUUUCAAACCUGAAUAGUUCUAUCGAAGAUGGUUUUGAGUAGCUAUCAUAUAGGGUGAUGAUCACCGGAUUACCUUGUCGGCUUCUCCCAAUCCCCAAGGCAGUCAAACUGCAUAACAAACAGGUUAUCUUCAAGAGUUUGAAUCUUCACAGGCCUUGCUAGAUCCCACGCAUUGCGCAUGUCCUGAAAGAACCAAUAAUUGCUAAAAUCUUUGUCGAUAUGAACCCUAACCAAGAUCAUCCAUCGGAGGUUUGACUCUGCUGGGGCAUCCUCAUCAUCAAACACCACGUCAUCCAGAUCUUCCUCCUUCAGUGCGAGCUCCUUCAUCAGAUUUUCUAGCUUUCCUUUCCCCUUAAAAUCUGAGGAUGCUCUGUUGGUGCGGUUCGCCAUGUUCCGAGCUUUGCCGACCCGAUCUCCAGGUAAAAACCCUAAACUCCCCUGGUAGAAACUGGAUUCCUCGACCCUCGCCAGAAAGCAGUCUUGCAACCACCGUAGCUGACCUGAGACGGAAGGUCCGAUCGCUGUGGGAGGAAGAUAAGUUCUCAGGAAGACAAACCCUAACGAGAGGGGAAUUUCUAGAAUAGACACGCAUGUGCAUAUAUGGCAGUAAAAAAACGUCAAAAAACUUUUUUUUGAGGGGUAAGGCCAACUUUAUUCAUCAAAUGCCACAAAUAAUGGGAUACAAUGUGGAUCAUGGGGUUGACCCAGCCAUAUGUGGCGGCACGGCCCCAAAGCUAGUGAAUACUUUGCUAAUUUGUGUGCUUCAAUAUUAGCGGCACGGCUUUCAAAAGAAAAAUUACAUUGAAAAAGGGAAGCUCUUAGUGUGAUUUCAUGGACUAUGAAACCGUUUCGCCUUCCUGCACCCUUCUUGAUCUCUGCGACUAUUUGCUUGGAAUCAGAGGCUAUGGCGACAUGUGUUAUGUUGAGAUCAUCUGCUAGCGCCAAGGCCUCAGGGCAGGCGAUGGUUUCUAGAAUAGCUAGGGUCCUCCAAGCCUGCAAUCACAAGCCCCGAGCUUCCCAUGUAGUUUCCUUGCCUAUCCCAACAAACAGCAGCAACUGAGCCUCCUCUCCCCUUUCUGACAGCAGCAUCGACAUGUCUCUUGGCAUAGCCAAUCGCAUCGGUGGCGCUCUUGGUCGAGGAACCCGCGUAGACGACAAGCCCUUGCUGGUGGUUGUUUCUCAAUAGUUUGAAGCUCCAAGAUAUACCUUUUAACAAAGGAAUUAGUCCCCGCCGGUGACUGAAAGAUGCCUUCAUGGAUGGCCUUGCGUAUGGAAGUCCAUAUCACCCAAAGGGUUACAACCGAGGUAACAAACUGCUCAUGCGAUAAUGUCUCCAUUAGCGCGAACAGCCAUUGCUUGGCGCUUGGUUCGGCCGUUGCCACUAUGGAUUGUGCCAGAUCUUGAUCAACUAAUGCCCAGGUACACCUAGAUGUUGUGCAAUCAACAAGAGAGUGCCUCCAUGAAUCUUGCGAGCCGCAUAGGCCACAUCGAGAGAUGUCGGUCAUAUGCCUAUGCGCUCGAAUAUCCUCUGUUGGCAAGGAGUGUUAGUCUCCAUAGGAACAUCCUCAGUUUUGCUGGCACUUUUGUGUUCCACAUGGUCUUCCAUGCACCUUCUUCCGAUACAACAGAAGAUGGAGCUGCAUUGCCUUCUAACCAAGCUUCGAGACGCUGUUUUGUUGAGACGAGCAUACGGUAUGCCGAUUUGACAGUGAAAAUACCGUUUGAUUCGAACUGCCAGCUCCAGAAAUCAUCUAUAUUUCGAGUGCAUAAGGGUAUACCCUUGAUGAUGCGAGCAUCCAUAGGGAGGAAAACCGACGAGAUCAGUUCAUGAUUCCAUGUAGCCGAGGUGUGAUCGAUAAGUUCUGAGACCAUAGCUGGUGGAUCUGCAACUAAACACCCAUAGGACCGAAGCAUCUCAUCUCUUGGUAGCCAUGUAUCUUCCCAGAUCCUCGUUGUUUCACCGUUCCCAAUCCUUCGGAUCAAUCCCUGCUUCAAAACAUCUCGACCUUCAACGAUAGCUCUCCAAAUCUGGCUAGGGUGGUUCCCUAAAGAGGCCUGCAGAAUUGUAGAAUUUGGGAAGUAUAUGCUCUUCAACAGCCGAGAGCUUAGAGAUUCAGGUGACUACAGUAUCCGCGAGGCCUGACGAGCCAACAUAGCUAGGUUGAAAAGCUCGAAAUCCUUGAAACCGAGGCCUCCCAUUCCUUUUGGCUGUGUCAUUACUUUCCAAGAAACCCAAUGGGGUUUCCGCUUGCCUUCUUUACUUCCCCACCAAAAUUUCCUAAUAAGCAUAUUAAGAUGUUCACAUAAUCCUCUUGGGAGCUUGAAGCAAGACAUUGAAAAAACUGUAAUGGCAUGUGCAAUUGAUUUGACGAGCACCUCCUUACCCGCUGUUGACAAAGUAUUCUCAAUCCAUCCCUGAACUUUGCUCCAUAAGCGGUCCUUUAAAUAUUUGAAAGCCCCAUUCUUAGAACUUCCAAUAUCUGACGACAUACCCAGGUAUUUUUCAUUUAAUGUUUCAUUAGGAACAUUGAGCAGAUUCUUGAUUUCUCCAUGAACAUUUUCUGACACCCCUUUACUGAAAAAUAUAGAUGAUUUGGCAAAGUUUAUGCGUUGACCUGAAGCUUGGCAAUAACUGUUCAAGACUAGGUUCACCUCGUUUGCUCCACUACUGUUAGCCUUACAGAACAGCAUGCUGUCAUCAGCAAAUAACAGGCGGUUAACCGGUGGUGCCGAAGUGGCAACCUGUACACCGUCCAAGUUGGAUGACUCUCUUCUGGAUCUUAACAGGCACGAAAGGCCCUCUGCUGCUGGCAAGAACAAGUAGGGAGAAAUUGGGUCCCCUUCUAUAAUACCACGUGCUGGCUCAAACUCUUCUAACCUCUUUCCAUUGAUCAUAACAGAGAAUUUAACUAUGGAAACCAGCCCCAUAACUAUGUUCGCCCAUUGUUCAGAGAAACCUAGUUUCAACAUAACUGCUCUAAGAUAAGGCCAUUCUACCCUAUCAUAGGCCUUCAUCAUAUCAAGCUUUAGGGCAAAAGCUUGGUGUUUCUUAGCUUUGUUUUUUUUCAUAAAGUGGAGACACUCAUAAGCUGCUAUGAUGUUGUCAGUAAUCAAUCUCCCUGGUACGAAAGCGGAUUGUUCCUGAGAUAUAAUGUCAGGUAGCACAAUUUUCAGACGGUUAGAGAUCAUGUUUCAAGCAAUCUUGUAUAACACAUUGCAUAGGCUGAUAGGACGGAACUGGGUUAACAUGGUAGGAUUUUUUACCUUUGGGAUGAGAACCAAAAUGGUCUCGUUAACGCAUGCUGCAGAUUCCGUUCCCCUACGAUUUUUAACACCACUUUCGUCACCUCCUCUCAAAAAACUGAACAGGGAAGAAAAAUCAGUCAUGGCUGACUGGACUGAGUCGCUACAGUAGUUUGAUCGGGCCGGGCCGCUCGGUCCAUCUGUGCGAAACAAGGGCAGCUUUGUUUUUUCCGGGUGAAGCAAGGGCAACUUGACGCAGAGAGCUCUCCCUCCUUCCUCCCCGUGCCGGCGGCCGCCGCCGCCGCAAAGCCAGAGGAGAGAGCAACGCCGGCCCCUGGUUCCCCCGAGUGCCGCCGCUGAACCGUCCCGUACUCUGCCCGUCGCCCCUCGGCGGCAGCAUCUUGGCCCUCGCGCGCCUCCGCCGCCGCUUCCUCUUCCUCUCCGCCCCAUCCCAGGUUCGUCCCGACACCCGGCUCUUCCGCUGGAGCACGAAUCACCAGCAUGGGAAAUUCGAGCACUCGGGAGCUAGCACGAACUGACAUUUCCCUCUGUACUUUCCUUAAUAAAAAUCUUUAAGGCGUGUGUGUUUCUGUGUUCCCAGCUAGCUGAUGGACAAGUCUGGUCGUCCAAGAUGGAAGAAGGGCAAAGACGGCAAGGACUUGGCAGCUCUGGCGGCAGCCCAGCCCAUGUCAGCCAUCGUCGCCAAGCUCCAGGCUUCACUGAAAGGAUCAAAGCUCGCGGCAACUCUGUCUAGCGGGGCCGGGGAUGCGAUCCUCGGCGUGAACCCGCAGCAAGCCGCGCUUCUGAGCCGCGCCGCCUUCGGCCGGGCGCUGGAAAACGCCGGAGCCGGGAGACACUGGUUCCAGCUGGGCGCCGAGGAGCUCUUCUACCUUCUCCAUGCCUUGAACUGCAUCGCGGUGGUUGAGUCGGCGAGCAAAGAUAAUCCAAUGAGCCAAGGGGAGCUGUGGGAUCGCUUGUGCUCCGCGUCAGAGUCAUUCCCUGAGACGUACAGGGCCUACUCGCAUCUCAGGUCCAAGAACUGGGUGGUGCGGUCAGGCUUGCAGUAUGGCGCAGAUUUCGUCGCUUACCGUCAUCACCCAGCGCUCGUCCACUCGGAGUUUGCCGUGGUUGUGGUUCCGGAAGGGUUGGGGCUCGGCGGUCGGCGCGGCCGCCUGAAUGUGUGGUCUGAUCUGCUGUGCGCACUCCGAGCUUCUGGCAGCGUGGCCAAGACGCUGCUGGUGCUGACGAUCUCCGGCGAUGUCCGUGAGCUGAGAUCCCCAGAUUGUUUGGAACAGCUGGUUGUUCAUGAAAGAACUGUUGCGAGGUGGAUUGCCCAGCAGUGCCGUGAGCAGCGAUGUGAACCGUGCGGAGAAGACGAAGCAUAUAAGGAAGAACAAGAUCAUGCCGGAGGAACUGUAGUUUUCAACUGUUGGGGUGUAAUGCUAGGCUUCGCAGCUCUUUCUGGCUUACUUGUAUACAAGCUGAGAUUCCGACAAUAAAGCUGGAUGUUUCUCUGUACUCCUAUUGGUGAUGUGUAAAAAAUUCUCAUCUUGUUGCAAUCCUGUGCUGGUACUCUUGUGCAUUUUGGAAAGAUUUCUAGAAAUGGUGCAUACAUAUAUCCAUACAACUGUAUCUGACUGCAGAGUGCAGGCAUCAUAUUAUGGUAUGCUCUGGAGUCUGGACUGGCCUUUUAUGUGCCUUUUCAAGGACUGCAGGACUAGAAGAAACCUCUGAAUGACCACCGGACACCAGCCUAUGGAAGAAAAGAGGUACGCUAGACACAUUUUCUUCAAAUAUUGGCAAAGAGUUUUUCCUUAUAUAGUUUCAGUGCUUAGUUCUUGAAUACAAUCAGGUCUUAAGUAUGCUAAACGAUGUAUCCCUGCCGAGGUGCAUACGCUUGCAUCUAGUUUUUCACAAAGUAUACAUUUAGUAAGCAUCAGAGUUGAUAUCUAUUGUAUUAUAGAACUGAAGGUACAAUGCCUGUUGUAAAGCAUGUAUGAUCAUAACAAAGGUGGCAACAUGAAGUCUGUAAAUACACAUAUCGUAUCAUAUUAUCAUUAUGUAUAUAUAUUAAUUUUUUUGACUGGAUCUGUCUCUGAAUUGAUAAAUCCAUACACAGUAAAUAAGUUAAUCACCAUAAUUAGAUAUCAUUAUGUGAUAUUAAAGCACAACUGUGGAAAUAACAGCAUGCACAAUGGUAGCUAUUCAUUCUUUCUUUUUAUUUGAGGCUCCCGCCUUUAGGUGCGCAUUGGCUACUCUAUCUUUUUUUCUUUUCUUUUUUUGAAAUGGAACACAAGGAUUCCAUACCUUAAACCGGCUCAGAAAAAGCGCUGGCCCUCAGAACACAGACAUCGUCUGGAAGUGCUGCAGUCCAAAGCUGCCUAGCAGCCUGACCUCGAGCACCUACAGCAGCUAUAGUGUGUGCUAGCUUAUUACAACCCCUUGGGCAAAAUCGAAACUCAAGAUAUUAAAAUUUUGUCUAGUAAAUAUUUUAAUCUCCUUGAAUAUGGCUCCCUCAGGAGCGAGAUCAUACUCAUUUCCAGUCAGUGUUCGGACCGGAUUUUGGCAAUCAGUCUCUACCUGCACAUUCAUCAUGCCCCACUGGGCAAAAUUGAUAAAAAUGACCCUGGGGGGAAAGAACUCACGGAAUGACCCCUCGGGGAAAAUAUGUCACCCGGCUGACCCUUUUGUGUGGCGCCCGACACCUAGGCGCCACACUACACUGUGUGACGCCUAGUCGUUCGGCGCCACACCCCCGACCACCUGGGAGAGAGGGCCCACCCCCAGGUCGUGUGACGCCUAAGCCUCAGGUGUGUAAUGUGUGACGCCGAACGCUUAGGCGCCACACAUUGACUUAACUGUCCACGGGCCAGCCCCCCUCCCCACCCCCUCCUGGGAUGCCAGUGUGCUUUGAGAUGCCAGCAGGUUUUCACAUGUGUGGCGCCUAAGCCUUGGGCGUUGCACAUGUGAAAACCUGCUGGAAGCUGAAUUUUGACAGGUAUGCAGCAUUUUGACAGCAUAUAUUUUGACAGAAAUUUAGAACAUAUGACAGCAACACAAACAACCGAAGUUCACAUUUAUAUUUGAAUCUAACACCAACAACACAAGUGCAAAUGAUUGUUCACAAGUGCAACAUCAAGACCAACAACACAAGUUCACAACUCCUAAUGGUUCACAAGUGCAACAUCAACACCAACAACAAAAGUAAAAUGGUUUGCAAAUGAUUGAAAACUCCAAAUGGCUCCAGUUCACAUCUUGGGGCCUCGUCCCCUCUUAGAAACAACUUCUUUCUUCUCGAAACUACAAAUUCCUCCGGGUCAUCCGACUCAUCGUCAUCCUCAUCGUCCAUGCUUCUCAUCCUUGACAAACGAGAGCCCCCGGCGACCGGGUUCUUUCCUUUCGCAUAAUCAUCCGGUGAGUACCGCCUAAAUUCCUUCCUAGGCUUCAACAUGUAAGCGGAGCGUUGGAAAGUCUUCAACGUCAUCCCGUCCGCAACCUAAUACAUAUGAAGGUUGAAAGAUCAAAGUUGAAGGUUCAAAGUGCACAAUGUUUUAUGGCUAUGUCAUACCUCAGGAGUGUCAACAUCAUCCUCUAUAGUAUUUCUUUGGGUAUUAGCUGCCGAGGUAAUGUCACCAUCGUCCAUACGAGCGCUCGAAGAAGCUGAAUCGUCUAGAGUAUUUCUUUCGGAUGAACCGGAUCUCGAAGGUGAAACAUAUUCAGGGUCACGGCAACCUAAAAUGUUGGAUAGGCGCCGUAACUUCUUGCCCUGUUCCUGUUAGAUUCAAAUAUAAAUGACAUAUAUAAGGUACCGUAUGUUGCAUUCGUGGGAAUAAUAAUAAUAAUGACACAACACCUUUAUGAAAAGACGAAGUGCAGAUUCUCCCUUUUUUCCUUCAGGUGUCUUCUCUAGAAUAUCUUCGGACUCAUCAGCUUGUUUCUUGACAUCUUUGCGCUAUGAUCACAAGACAAUGACAUGCAAGUGAAUAGGUGUACUAGCAUUCAUACUUAACAUAGGUGAGCACACUUACCACAAAGUUCAGGACAGGGGCGAAGGAAGUUUGGUACCCUUCGCGAAUUAACUUGUUGUAAUCGCCUUGGGCAAGUGCAUCGUACUCUGUGGGUUCUUCCAAUAUGUCCUCCUCGUAAGCCGGCGGACAAAUCUCGACACGAGUACUCUCCUGAAACCAUCUUAGGUAGUUAUUGAACGCAAGCGGACAAUGCUGGCGGUACUGGGUUCGUUGUAUGCUCGAAGCUGCCUGCACACUUUGCUCGAACAUAAUGACAUAGCUCUUAUGAUGCUUAUGCCAAUCCUUGAUCUUUCGCUGCCUCCUCCUAUCCAACCUGCUUUUAACAAAACCCAUCAGUAGCUUGCUCAACACUAAGAACAAAACUAAUCAGUACUUCUUUUUUGUUACCUGUGAAGCUGUGUGUCCGUAUUCACCCACUCCGGCAGGUGUGGCUGAAAGAACCCAAAUUGAUGCAUCACACGAUGCGGGAGAUGAAACUCAACCGCCCAAUUGCAUAUAAGGGGACAACGCAUUAGCCAAAGAUGUUUUUCCUGCACGCAUAGUGGAUUGAGCUCGAACGUGUGUGCAUCACCAAAGUUUGGCCCGACACCAUAUGGCUGACAUUCCACCUACAACACAACAUAAAAGGCACAAUUCAUUUUACUCACAACAUAAAAGCUGGAAGUCAACUCUGAAACCAUCUUACCUGCUCGGGGGUAAGCGAAUCCAUCUUGUUGGUGUAUUGCUUGUACAAUAGGUUCACUUCGCUUGCCACCUCCGAUACCAAGUCCCACUUGUAAGCCCAUGUAGGUUGCCAUACAGGGUUGCCGUGGUCAUCCCAGGUAUUCCACUUUGAGCUUUUAGGGCGUCCAACAGGUAGGCGUUCCCAGCUUCAUACUGAAAGUAGGAGCAUACAACCACCAACUCCACCGUCCUUUGUGGUCCUGCGACAAGCAUCGUCCAACUACAAGUAACAACAAACAUGCAUCAGUUUAGCAGAAAAAGAUAACAGAGAGUACUUAAUAUUAACAAUUUAUUACCUGCCGAUACAAGUAAGCCAGUGCGGCCGAGCCCCAACUGAACUUGUUGUCGAAAACAGUCAACGCCUUCAGCCACAUCCAUGGAGCAUUCUUGCCAGUGCCGUCAGCAAAGAUAGUCCUAGAGAUGACGUACCACAUGUACACGCGAGCAUACCUCUGGAUCACCUCGUCAUCUGCGUCCUCAGGACAAUGAGCAAAGUUCGCGGCAAUCCAAGUGAAAGGAGCGCCGGCCGGGACUCUAUCUUUCUUCCCUCCAUCUUCUACCUCCGGCUCCUGCGGCGACAUACCAAUAAGAGCCUCCAUUUGUUGCCGCCACCCCUCGAAAUCAGUGCUCAUACAAAGAGGCUUCCCCUCGAUCGGAAGUGCGGUGAUCAUGGAAACAUCUUGAAGAGUAACUGUCAUCUCUCCGGUCCGGAGGUGAAAACUAUGUGUCUCCGGCCUCCAACGAUCAAUAAGUGUUGUGACUGCCGCAGCGUUCAGAUUGGGCGUUGACCGACUCAAAAGCUAAAUGAAUAGAAGUAGUCCUGUCAUCUCGAUGUAUGGGGUGUACCGCUCAUUGUACUGCAUUACAGACGAUGCCCCAUGAGACCGGAUCUUCAAGGGCGUAAGCUCCUGCAAACAGAUAGGAGAAGAAGAUAUCAAGUGCUUAUUACAUUUUCAAGUGCUUAUUAAAUACAUGUUUUUUUUAUCAUAUGAUCUACUUACCAUUUUCUUCUCCGACAUGAAAUAGGCCCGGUGUUCAACGUCAUAAACAUUAUUCAGAAGCCACACCAUCCUACAAAUCACAAAAAAAUACUCAUAUUCAAAAAAUUACUCAUCUACUAAUCUACAUAUCCUAACUACUCAAAUUCUAAGAACUCAUAUGAAUCUACUCAUAUACUAACUACUAAAAUCCUAAGAACUCAUAUGAAUCUACUCAUAUCCUAACUACUCAAAUCCUAAGAACUCAUAUGAAUCUACUCAUAUACUAACUACUAAAAUCCUAAGAACUAAUAUCCUAACUACUCAUAUCAAUCUAGUCAUAUACUAACUACUAAUACUAACUACUAAUAUGAAUCUACUAAUAUACUAACUACUCAAAUCCUAACUAGUCAAAUCCUAAGAACCUAUUCAAAUCAAUCUACUCAACAAAAACCUAUUCCACUUGGAUAGAAGGAUGGGAAACGGAAGAGAUUACCUUGGGGGAUCAAUCUAAGGAAGAAAUCAUUAGAUCUGAAGGAGAUGGGGGAGGGGAUUAGGGAUUCGAAGAGAGCCAGCCGCCGCCGUUGCUGUUUCUGUUUGAAUGAGGGAGGGGAAUGGGGAGGGGGGCUGGCCCGUGGCCAGUUAAGUCAAUGUGUGGCGCCUAAGCGUUCGGCGCCACACAUUACAAUGUGUGACGCCUGAGGCUUAGGCGUCACACGGCCUGGGAGGGUGGGCCCUCUCUGCCAGGUGGUCGGGGGGUGUGGCGCCGAACCGCUAGGCGUCACACAGUGUAGUGUGGCACCUAGGUGUCGGACGCCAUACAAAAGGGUCAGCCGGGUGACAUAUUUUCUCUGAGGGGUCACUCCGUGAGUUCUUUCCCCAAAGGGUCAUUUUUAUCAAUUCUGCAUCUAAAGCUUCCAUACACGCAGUUGCUUCUGCAUGGAUUGCACUGCCGAUAUGCUGCAACAUCCCAGCGCCUGAUCCCAUCACAUCUUCACGCAGAUCACGAAUCACGUAGCCCCAUCCACCACUUCUCUCCUGUUCACUGAAGGCCCCAUCCACAUUGAUUUUCAGAGUAUCACCUGUAGGUUUUUUCCAUACGACUGCUUCUUUGGUCCCUGGUUGCUUCGUUAGAUUUGUACAGAGCAAGUGAGACUGAGAGACUCAUGUGCCCAAUACCUGAUGCAGGGUUCUAAUUCUUCCACCGGGGGAGUUCCCUCCCUUGCAUUUAUUUUAUUCCGACGAGACCACCACCGCCAAAGCAUGCAGGUAACCAGUACACAGUUCUCCUCAGGCAGCUACAGAAUCUUUUGCACUACUUUCUUUGCAUCCAUACAUGCGGCUAACUGACUACGUAUCUCGUCGAGUUGCAUAACUCGCCAGAGUCUCUUCACUUCCUUGCACUUUAAGAAUAAGUGAGCGCCGUCCUCAUCUAACCUACCACAACAUAGGCACAAAGUUUCGCAUUUGACACCUCUCCGAUUCAGUUUCAGCAGCAGAGGAAGACUGUUAUGUGCUAGACGCCAUAGAAAUUGUUGUACUUUCGGCUGGCAAGGGAGUGCCCAGUUAUCCUUCCAGGGGAAAGAUUUUAAGGAGGAGGCAAACCCACUUGGUAAAUGUUCAUCCCUGUACUGCACAUAGACCCUAUAAGCCAAUUGGACAGAAAAUUGUCCCUUUGUAUCAAAGAACCAUGCAUGAAAAUCCCCAUAUUCCUCAUUGAUUGGUGUCGCCAGUAUCACCUUAACAUCCUCCUCCACAAAGAUAUGUCGUACUAGAAUUUCAUCCCACAUUCCAACUUCUGGAUCGAGUCACCUUGGCGCAACCCAAGGCGGUGCCAUAUCGGGGGGCCGGGCACACCAUUGAGCAUGACGCGGGUGCUGGCCGACGAUAGGAGAAUGGCCAGCCACUCCCAGAAUCUCUCUCCGAACCCAUAUUGGCGCAGGACCUCGAAGAGGAAGGGCCAGGAUAUGGAGUCGAAGGCCCGGGUGAGAUCAAGCUUGAGCAUAAUUCUCGGCGCGCCCAGGUGGUGAAGCAGCUUGAGGGAUUGCGGGACGAGGAUGUUUAGGUGCGCAUUGACUAAUCUAUCUGGUAAUAAUGCACUGUGUGGUCCUUCCAUAUACCACUCUCUGAGGUACUUCUCAUAUAAGCUAGCUUCUCCAUCAUAGUUCACUGAAAGAACUGCUGUGCUCCUUGUCCCAUAGAGCCCCUUUGCAAAAACAGAAACAUGUAAAUAAAUGUAAAUAAAUAUAGCAUUUCAAUAUCGAUAUAGGGUUCUGUACUAGAACAUCUACGUGUUAUUUUAGUGAUUAAUAGGCAUAAUUUUUCAGAUAAUUCUACUCUGAAUGUACUUGUAAACUGCAAUUAAGUCAAAGAUUUUAUGCUCAUUUUGUCAGUUUGCACCUCGAUGAAGAUGGAGCUCAGACCGUGCUCCCAGUUGGGAUCACAACUAGUGUUUGGCAGCCUAUCUUUAUCACCCGUCGUAGUAUCACUCAUUAGUCUGUCAGCUAUAUCCUUUGCUUCAACUUCAUCAUCACCAUGCUUCCUUAAAAACGCCCCGAAGUUUUUUCCGAGGCAAAUUGCCUACAAGCAAUAUCUGCAACGAUGAAAAAUUGUCUGCACUGCAUUCCUUGGGCAGAUUCUUAUAGUAUAGUGAAUGGUCCCUAAGACAGAGUGGCUUGCAAUCAUGUGGCAUCUACUCCUGUCUUGCUGAUUGUACAUGCAGUGCUAUUAAUUGAGUUAAAUGCACUGCCCUCUAUAAUUAGGGAAGUACUUGAAAUGGCUUUCAUCUUGCUUUGUCACAUCUUUUCCAGCUCAAAAGUCUCCUUUAGGGUUCUCAGUGCAGUACAAGUAAAAUCAACAAAGUACACCUCAUUGGACAUUCAACAUUUCUAGCUUGCUCCUGAUGUUCUUCCAGUAUUUUACUCCCUCCGUUCCUAAAUAUAUGUCUUUUUAGAGGUUCCACUAGUGGACUACAUACGAAUGUAUAUANUAUUUAGGAACGGAGGGAAUAUCAAAUAACAGCAUCAUGUGCACUUGUAUUUCUGUGGCACUCUGGGAAUUCUAUCAAUUUGUAAGGUCUUCAUUGGACAAGGAGUAGUUCUGUUACCAUCUGCCAAGGGCUGUCUAGGCUUGCAUUGGACAACAUAUGGAGUCUUGGUGUGACGACCUGAAUCGUAAAUCGUUGCAGACCACCCCUUUGGCCGGUUUGACACAUAGGCCAUGGCAUUCCUGCUUAGAUCAGUAGUAUAGGGUUGAACCCGUCGUACUCAUCAGCUUCUUUUGCCACUUCAGUUGCAACCCCCAGUGGGCUCUUGUUGCCCUGUAUAAUACAGAUUCUGUGGAUCAUGCUCAUGCUCUCUAUUUCAUUCAACACACAUCCUAUGGAUAAUCUUGUUCAUGCUUUUGCUUUUAAGGGGGAGCUGGCAGUCUGGCAGUUCUAAUAGGAAGGAGCAACUAAAAAUAUUUUGAUGGUAAAGUUUUGGUUCCUAAAAAUGGGAAUGUAUGUCCUUGUCUUCAUCUAAGAAAAUUCCAGAGUGUGGGAUACAGUUCUGGUCAUGGGGUAGGCCGAGCCAAACUUGUCGUCCCAGAUCUAAAGAAAGCGAGAACUUGGCUAAACUAUGUGCCUCACAAUUGACGGCACGAUCUUCAAAUAUAAAACUACAAUUAAACAAUGACCGUAACAUUCUAACUUCGCUGACGAUAGCCCCAUUGAUUCCUUGAUCUCCUUUCUAGAUGGAUGAAAUCACUUCCUUGGCAUCUGAGGACACAACGAACUGUUGUAUGUGUAUAUCCCGUACCAAUGAAAAAGCUUCUCGGCAUGCUAUAGUUUCUAGAGUAGCUCGGUCAUCAAUCCCGCCGAUUACCAGUGCAGAACUGCCUAAAUAUUCUCCAUUAGUCUCUACACACCGCCGCGGCAGUGCCCACGCCUUUCUACAACCUGCAUCGACAUGUAUCUUCGCAAAGCCAUUUGGAGGGGCCUUGGGCCUCUGCAUUGUCGCAGCUGGAGUAGUCCGAGUUCUGUGUGGCGGCGAUGGCACGGUCUCCCUUGUCAGGGCUAGCUAAAAAAUACAAAAGGAAAAUAAGAUGCUUAGCCCAGGCAGUGGGCUUAGCCCAAAAUGCAACUGAUGAUCUGUGCAACCGGGCUGCUUGAGGUAUACCAACGGUGGUAGCGUGUCCAUGGUGGAACACCUACUGCUAUUGAUGAUCGUGGUGGCGAAGCAGACCACAAGUGCGCCGGAGCCGGAGACAGCCACACGCGCCACAUCGAUGGCGAUGUCAUUAAUUACUGCAAGUCAGGACGUAGCCGGGUUCCCGGCGAAGGGGCUAGCAGAGCGGGAAGUCGUCGAAGAAGAGCGUCGUGAUGAACGUCCGGCCUGCCCAUGGCGCGAGGAAGAACGUGCCGCCGAAUAUGGCCGCGCCCACGCCAUUCCCGGUGAACCCGUUCCCGCCGUCGAUUGGGAGUGAGAGCGCGAACAAGUUUGCCACCUUCUGCACUCGCCAUUUGGAGCGGGAAUGAGGUGCUGCUGGAGCGCGGGAGGCGGGAGCCUGACCCCGGCGACACCCACGACGCCUGAGGGGGCGGUCCCGCAGGUGGCGAAGGAGAUCGGGACAACCAGUUGUUUCCUGGAGUACCGUCCGUGUAGUUGGAGGAAGGCAUCAUGGUCAUCGUCUGCCUGCUGCACGGCGACGUACUGGCCGGCGCGGAGAAGUUGACUACUAACGGGCGGCCGGCAGACAUUAAGCAGCUAGCGCGGUGUAGAGCGUCAUGGACACGCCGUAGUUGGUGAUCGGGAAUCAGAAUGGUGUGAAGGAAGUAAGUUGUGUAACUAGAGAACGAUAAGUUUGGCCAAUGCAUGCCGAAUGAAAUAUUAUCGGAACCAGAACUGCAUUUUUCUACGUUUGGGAACACAUUGUCAUAUAUAGUCAUAGAUGAUUCUUGUUGAGAGUCCUGCUCCUUCGUAGUGACAUUAUCAAAGAUCGAUCAUGCACGCGUGCGUUGUUUGCUAGCUAGACGAGACAAUUGCAUUAAUGAUGCUAAUUUUAAUAUAAGUAUAAGGAAUGCAUCGUGUCUUCAACCACUACAAGAAAUUUGCCCAUUUAUGACAAAAAAUAAUGAUCGGAGUCAAAUUUGUCAUAAAUUUAUGACCAAAAUUUACAAAAGGGUCAUGUGAUGUUUAACAAGGUCCAAACCCUAUACCACCAUGACUAUUUCUUCUCAGAAGGUCAUAAUUCCAUUGCACCAAAUGGUCAUUGAAAUGUAUAACACUAUUUAUGUGCUUAUUUCAUGCCCUACAUGACCAACUCAACAAGGUCAUAGGGUUGAAUAGAGAUGGAUGGACAAACACCUCAUCAUUUUUGCCUACAUGUCAUGUAUAAUUGUCAAUUACGUGUUUGAGCUGUAGAGUAUAACUACACUAACAGGUGGGACACACAUAUUGUGUUACAAAUGCAAAUGACUACGGGGACCCACAUUUAACAUGUGGGAUAACCUAAUAGGCUCAACAACAGACCCACGAGACGAUAGGCCCGCGUAGGACAUGCAAUUCAUUCUUUCAUAUACGUGCUCGGUACUAGAAAUAUACAUAAAUACUUAAAAUAAGUUUUUUUGUUUGAUUUAUAGACUUUAUUUGAGAUACACGUACUUAAAAUUUAAAUUAUAUUACAUAAGAACUUGGAAAUGUAUUUAAUAAUGCCUACAUGAUGGUAAAUACUAAAGGGCACACACGUGAGAUGAUGCUUCCAUGAGUGCAAUCUCGAACGUAUUUUGGUUUGUGUUGCAAAUUGAAAUUUAAUCUCUUAAUUAUAUUUUACCCACUUCUAAAAUCUACAAUUUUAACCGAAGCAAGUUUUGUUCUCAUGGAAUUGGGAGCUUUAUUUUAUCAAAUUAAAAUCCGGUCACAAACUGUCAUGCAGUUGAUGACAAAACUCGGCUCUUUGAUCUAGCCAACUCUAGAACUAUUGACCAAUUCAAGGGAUAGAAAAGAAAUGAUAGUACACUCUAGUAAAGAUGAAUUUCUAGCCAAAAAAUCACAAAUUAACUUUUCAUAGGAUUUGCACCACAUAGAUUUUUUUCUUUGAGGGCAGCGCCAUAUAGAUGCCACCAAGCUUUAGAAAAGCAAAAGGAGAAGGGCCCAUUGUAGCUACCUUUUUAAGGAUCAGUAGCCACCUUGAUUUUUUUAAGACAAAGUAGCCACCUUGAUUGCCUCCCGCGCUCGACAAUGCGCGAUUUUUUGGUUGCCCGCGGGCUUUUUUUUUCAUUUCCCGCACAUUUUUAGCACAAUAGAAAAUUUUGGGCCAAGUCCCCUUCCCACAUGUCCAGGCAGCCACAGUCCAAAUCCUAAUCCUCCUAUUCUACCCCCAACACCCCGAAGGCCGAAGCCACCAUCUGUUAGGGUUUCUCCUUUUGCGCCGCCGCCACCAACCCGAUCUAUAGCCACCGUAGUCCAUCCGCUUCUCCGCUUGCUGGAUCGGGAUCUUCAUCGAUGCUGAAGCACUCUGUUCCGAGCUUCUCGACCUGCCAUUGAGCGCAAAAAUUCCACCACCGAGGGGCCUCUCCUGUCUCCGAGCCCUCGGCCUCCCCGAGCUGCCUCUCCCGCCGAUGAGCGCGGCUUCGCCACCGACUCCCCAAGUUUCCUCUCCCGCGUCUGACUGCCUCCCCAAGAUGUCGCGACAUCACCACUGAAGCGAACCCGCUGCUCCUCUCCUUACCAGAGCACAUCUUUGGUAGCGAUGCAACACCGAUGCUCUACUUCAGCCACUCUCCAUCAGAGGUAUCAGUACCACUGUCCCAUCCUUCCCCCAGUUCUGCUCAUUUGAUGAUAGGUGUGUGCUGGAUGUGGUUUGUUGUGCUGAAUGAUGCGUGUGCGUGUUGUAUGUGGUGCGUGUGUGCAUUAUGCAUGUGUCUGAUGUAUGUAUGUUGCGUGUGUGUUGAUUGUUGGAGGUAGAGAGUCCAUAGUCUUGUACCAAAAGUAGACUUAGCGUGGUAGUACGAAUUAAUUUAAAGUUUAGUAAUACCUAGUAGAAUAUUACUAUGUUAGAUAUAAUACGGAGUAUCGGUUAUAUACAGUCCAGGCAUUUCUUAAUGCAACAGUACUCAUGAUUGUGAAAUCUUUCUCAUAAGAUGCUGCAAGUAUCACCAACAGAAUGAUUGUGAAAUAUUUCAGUCUAUAUAAAAGAUUCUAAAGUAUGCAUGUAGUUUGAGGUUUCUAUGAGAACAAUGUUUUUUAUGCUUUCUCCAUGAGGAUUUAACACGUGGAGGAUUUUGUUCUUUAUGCAUAAAAGCAGUCAGCUUUCUAGGAGUGCUUACCUUUCAUUCUGUCGUUGUUUUAGGUAUGUGGCCUAUGAAUAUGCCAACUUAGAUAUGUUGAAAAAGAAGACCGAUGUCUAGAAUUUUGGCGUGCUGCCAUUGGAAACAGUGGCUGGGAGGGAUCCUAUAGAUUAUUGUAAGCCAGCUAAUGAGGUGAACAUAUAUUCUACUUUAAGUGGUGCAUACUGGUGUCAUUUUUGUUUUAACAUCAAUGUUGCAUCAGCUUGAAAAGACAAUUUGUUUCAGUUGUAAUAUUCUGUUAUCUCAGUUUGUCUAAACAUAGCAAACCUUAUGUUUCCUUCCGAAUUGUCAUAUGUUUUUCUAUCAUGUCAUCCCGUUGGCUGCUAGGAAUGUACAUUAAUCAACUAUAACAUGGAUGACAUGCAGAUGCAUCUGGUGGCGUGGCUCAAGAUGAUGGUGGGCACGAGGAGAAUUAUGAGUGCCGAAGGAGUGUUUGAAAGUGUUUUGUUGUGCAAAACAUAUGUUAUAUCAGAAGCUUUUAUAAUGUACCAAUUGAUGGUUUCCUGCUGUUUUUUGUGAGUUCCCAAGAUCAGAGAGGCUAAGGAGAACAACACUUUUGUGUGCGGUUUCGGAGAACCAUGAGUUAUUGCUAGCUAAGGUUCUUCUCUUCUAAUUUGUCUCUCAUCGGAUGAACACUAUCUAGCUUCAUAUGCAUCCAGCUAGUCUUUGACAACAUUGCGAUUUCGUUUUUGCAUUAUUUUUUAGCAACUACCACGCCUACUGAUGAAUACUAUUGUGCCUAACACUAUAUGUCAACAGCCUAAACUGAAAUUGCAGGAAUCAUAUAAAAUCUACUCCCUCUGUCCCAAAAUAAGUGACACAAAUUUAAUACUAAGUUUGUUCAAAUUUUGUACUAAAGCAGUGCCACUUAUUUUGGGACGGAGGGAGUAGUUCAUAAAAAUGAGCAAUAACGGGACAUUUGCUUCUCUAGUUUUUUUGUCUAUAAAGUAAUUCUGUAGUUGGAAGUUGCAUAAGGAACCUUUUGUUUUCAGAUGAAGGUGCAUGUACUGGUGUGAGAUAAUUUCUAUUGUAAACAUCAUACAGAUUUGUUACUUGUUAUUUCAUGCUAUAGUAGUAGAUUACUCAGACGUCGAACUUUUAGAACUUCAGAGAUUCCUAUCAUUUAUGUUUGAUCACACUCACUAGCUAUGGAAUUUGCAUGCCCUUUUCCAUUAGACCACCAUUAUCUGUAAGAUUUUUACCUUUAACUACAACCUUGAUCUUACAGGUUUGAACUUUGAACAGCAAGAGCAGCGCCAUGGGAACCGUCAUCGUGGUUGACAAAACUGAUGUUCCUCAUCCCCCUUUCCCUAUAAGUUUCAGUCACUCUCAUGCAUGUUCAUGGUAACUAUCAUAGUUGACUUGUUGCAUGUUGAUGGUCGAUAUGAGUGUUGCUGAUGUUAGUGUUGUCGUAUAAUCAGUUGAUUGUGUCAUGUUAUUAUAUCUGUGAAAUUUGAACUUAUAUUGUUACUGUUGUUAGAUUUUGAUUUAGGAAGUACUUAUUCUUUUAUAGUUUUUCAUUUAUUGAAAAAGCACCAUUUCAUUGAACUAGUUAGAAAGGAUUUACUCCCUUCGUUCCCAAAUAUAAGUCUUUUUAAAUAUUUCACUAGGUGACUACAUACAGAGCAAAAUGGGCGAAUCUACACUCUAAAAUAUGUCUAUAUACAUCCGUAUGUAGUCACCUAAUGGAUCUUCUAAAAAGACUUAGUAUUUAGGAACGGAGGGAGUAGAUUAGAAUACUAAUAUAUCGAGUGGAGGUGUUAUACUUUAAUGGGAAUGCAUGUGCCCUUUGCUUCUCCCAAGUCUUAGUUGUAUACGUACUAACUAAUUUGUGGUAGGUAGUGGAUGGUUUUGGCACUUCUAAAUUUGUGCACCUCACAUUGUUAUCGACAAUUACCCCUUUAAAUAAUUAUAGGUACAUCCUUUUGUGCUCCUUUGAAUAAUCAUCAAAUGAUCAUUAUGUAUUGAGUGCUCCUUUCAUAAGUAAGAUUUUUGUUCUCAUUUAAGUAUUCACAAGUUUGAAGUGGAUGUUUUUACACUAUUGUUGAACUUGUUGAUUUUUUUGUAUUUAAUGCUAUAUGAUAUUCUUUUGUUUCUUUACUUUUUAUUUGAGGCUUGCUUCUCAUCUGUGAUCCUUCAUGCUCUCAGAAGUUUGGAAGAGGAAGAUAAUGAAAGCCAUAUCUAGAAGAGCUAGAUGAUGUAGAGAUGUACCUUUUCUUUGAUUGGUGUGACUAUUGGUAUCAUUGGUUUGUUUUAUUUAGUGUUGAAUGAAUCAAACUUGUAUGUAAUAUCGUAUUUUCCUAUGUUGUGAUUUCGAAUGUUGCUACAUGUAAUGCAUUUAUUGUUAUAAUUGCAAAAAAAUGGCUUGAUGGAAUUGUACCACGCGGGGAAAAGAAUAAAGUAAUUUCAAAAAUCCAUAAUAUAUCAGCCCUAAAAAAGGGCUAACUGAAUCAUAAUCGGGUAUUUUUUAUGGCCCAACUGAUUUUAUAAUGAAUGCAUAAAUGGGCUGAACACUUGGCCUUGGCCCAUCAACGCACUACAAUUGGAUUGGGCUCAUUUUCAUCAUUGGACCUGGUGAUCCUAUGUGGCAGCCACAUCAUCAUGUGUGCCAUGUCUUUUCUUCUGCCACGUGGAUAACUCCAUGUCACACCCUACGUGGCUUAGACACAUGGCCAAUGACCAAAAUUUAGGUCAUGGAUUUUAUGACUGAAAUUUUGGUCAAUGAUAUCCAUGACCAAAACUUUAGAGAAGGUCAUGCUUCUUCAUUCUUGACGGCCAACUAUUGACCUUCUGAAUUUGGUCAAAAUAAGGUCAUUAACGCAAAACAGUGACAAUUCAGUGACCAAGAUGGUGGGUCAUGUAUGGACAUAUUUCUUGUAGUAAACUUAUUAUUGAACCCAACAUGCAAGUCAAAUUUGUAUUGCCCUAAAUUUUUGUAAAAAUGCUCAUCUACUAUACACUAGAAACCACUAUUAAGAUAUUUAUUAGUGUGUACUCCCUCCAUUCGCAAAUAUAGGAUGUUCUAACUUUUUGUGAUUGAGAUGUAUAUAUAGACAUGUUGUAGUAUGUUGUUAACUCAUUUCAAUCUGUAUAUAGUCGGUGCAUAUUAAAAUAUCAAAAACAUUUUAUAUUUGUGUGAACGAAGGAAGUAUAUUUAAAAAUCUCUACCAUGAUACUUAGUAAUAUUAAAAUAUAAGAAUAUAAUCACCUACCUCCAAAUAUAUGUGUAUACAAUAAAUUUAUGUAGUUUUCAAAAAAAUAAAAUAAAAUAUUUUUUCAACACAAAAGGUAACUUGUGUAAUUUAGAAUUGGCACAAUAAAAUUUCCAAUAAUAUACAUUGUAACAAUAUAACAGAAAAUACAUUGUUAUACGGUUAAUUAUGAUAGCUAGGUAAUAUAAUACUCCCUCCGUUCCAAAACAAGUGACUCAAAAGGACUCAAUUUUAUACUGAAGUUAAUGCAAAGUUGAGUUAUUUUUGAGUCAUUUAUUUUGGGACGGAAGGAGUAUUAUGCUAAUUAAAAUUGUAAUAUAGCACUGUUAUUUUAAAUAAGCAUACAAGUUUGGUAUAAAAAUUAUUAUUUUCAAGUCAUAAUAGUUUGGACCAGCCUUGGGAGGCGGUGCACCCGAGCACAAAAAGUCAAGGACGAUACAUGGAGGUUACUGACCAAUUUUUCCCCAGGCAUGCUACUACACAAGUGCACCAACCUCCGCGACUUCGCGGUUGCGCAUACCAAGCUUAGCCACUACACGAAAGUCGUGCAAACGUCCGCUUUUCUUACAUGGCCGACACCAAUAGAAAUACAAGUUGCUAGUAUUCUGGAUUUUUGAACACUUCUGAAUUUGAUGCAAUAGUUUCCUUACUGUUUCUACACUUGGGUCAAUGCGUACAUAUUUCAGGGAUGGUAAUUGAAAAAACAAUUGUCAGUACUUCUGAUUGCCUGCAUGCAUGGGUAAUGGAGUAAUGUGGCAUAUACUCAUUUGUUAAUGGUAACAUUUUUCUGUGGGUAUGUUAAUGGUAGCAUUAAAACAAAGUUACUACUCAAAGCUACACAUAAUGAUAUCGUAAUAUGUAGCUCGAAAGUAGAAUACUCAAAGCUGAUCAUCUGGGGGCACUAAGUCAUAUACUACAUGGCACAACAUUACUUUUUCAGGUGUUUUCACAUGCUGCUACAAGGCACUAGCUGGAUUACCCUUUGACUCUUCGUAGAACAAAAUUAUACAAUAAUAUUCGAUGGCAAAAUGGCAGCAAAGGAGCAUGCAAUGGUCAAGAUAUUACUUUACUUCCAUAAGUAACCAUUUCAUGACUAAAAGAGACGCAACAAAUACAUACAUCAUCCCGGUGUAGCCAGUGGCGAAUCUACCAGGGGGCUUCGACAGGCUCGAGCCCCCCUCCGAAAAUUGAAAACGAAAAACUACUAGUAAUCCUGUCAAAAUUUCCAUCUUAUUUUCACUAAAAAAUUGAUAUUUUUUGACUUUUUCUACACACCGUUAACUUUGAGCCCUUCCUUCAUUUUCUUUUAAGAUUCGACACUGGGUGUACUGACCCCUCACAACGACUAAAAGAGACGCACACUACAUGUGUAGCCAUAAACAUCCAACCCAAUGCUGCUCGUUGCACUUGUUUUCAUCAAUGAUGGACACAGAUAGAAUAACUUAAAUUAAUAGUAUGUCUAUGAGUUGCUUGUGGUGGUCAAUUUUUGCCAACUUCAUUUUACCCAGGAGCUACAUAUCAAAGUGUUCGGCAUGCAGAAGUAAGAAUGCAGGCAGAUGCUUAUAUGCUUAUAUGCAAAGAGUAGCAUGAACACCAUAUAACUGAAUGCAUAAAUAAGUACAAUAUAAUGGAAUCAAUCGUAUCUAGAAUCAUACUGUACUAGGAUACUAGCUAGCUAGCAAGUUGGAUAAUAAAACAAUGAAAUUCGGCAAAGUGGUUGUAUCUUUAAUAUAGAAAGAAAAAAAAAUAGUGAUUAGAUAUGUAGUAGAGCCGAGCGCUCUGCUGAGAGAAGAUUUGUGGAAGGAAAAAGAAUUCUGCUUUAAGAAAAAUCAAAGCAAAAUGAAAUUGGAUAGCUGGCCUGUUGACUCUUCCCAGAUGCAAAUUAAACAAGUGAAGCGAGCACCAAAAGUUUAUGCCAACAUAUACAAGAGCAUGCAAUGAUCGACAGAGCAAUAACACAUACAUACAUAAACAAUAAGGAAAAGGUGUGAUAUACUCUCUGCGUAAAUUAACAUAAGACCUUAUAGAUUACUAAAGUAGUGAUCCAAAAGGAGAGAAUCGUCGUCUUGGCUCCGAGACUAAUCUGAGCCUGGGAGUGAACAAAAAAAUCAUUAAAAAUACUAAUUAAAUUCAAAAAUAUCUGAACUUUUCUCUGUGGAGCAAAUGCUUGAGUGUGUGAUGUACGUGCCAAAUUUCAGAAUAUUUAAAUGUCUAAAUAGCUCUCAGCAAAUACACAAAUUUCGGUGUGUGAAAAAGUUUAUAGUUUAUCCAUUGUUUGGGCUUGACUUUUUUUUGCUGAGAGCUACUCAGUUGUUCAAAUACUUUGAAAUUUGGAACACACCUCACACAUUAAAAUAUAUUCCAUGCAAUUUCUGUUUAGAGUUUUUUUAAAAAAAUCUAGUAUUUUUUUGAAUUAACUGUUCACCGGGUGCGAUCUGGGGCUUAGAAAUUAGAUAUUCAAUCUAAAAGAUCUUAUAUUAGUUUCCGGAGGUAUCACUGAUCAAAAUGUCAGUUCUAUUGAAGGCCGGUCUCAAACAAGUAUAGUGAUGUUCUGAUCAAGAUAUCAGUUUUAUUGCAGUAACAAGCUAGUCGAUGAAAAGCACACGCCUACUUUCAGUAUCUAUACGAGAGUAGGCAACUAGGCAUAGCUAACUGAGCAUAUUUAGCCAGCAGCACACGGUUGGUUAAUUAAGCGGCGCGAACUACUUCCCGGUUACAAAAGGCACACCUCACAGCCUCAUAUAUUAGGGGGGUACAUUCGUACUAGCUCUUGGCGUUGGCGGGCAGGUUCCGGAUUCGUCUCGCCGGGGACAAGGCACGAACGAGCACUUCACGCAGCAGGCGCGCAGUCAUAGUCGUCGUCAUCGUCGUCGCCGUCUGACUCGUCCUUCCUAUGCCGCACGCCGCAGCAGUCGUCACUCGGCACAGCGGCGUAAACGGCAUAGGCGGCAAUGCGGCCGUCUUGGACGACGAUGUGGCUCAUGACCAUGGACGCCGACGCCAUGAUGAGGAUCUAGCUUGAGUAUGCAGGCGAAUCACAAGCUUGAGGUCUAAGCCUGGUGAUGCUGGCUGUGUUGGUGUGUGAUAUCUGCAGAGUAUAGCCGCGUGCGUUGUGGGUUUUAUAGGACGACGGGAUGUGUGGGGAAAUGUGGCGGCACGCGACCGGAAGUGCCCGGAGCGUGCGUCGGACAUGCCGCUGCGUGCAUGGCUUUGGCGCGGCACGGGCGCGGCAGUGCACACUCAGCAGCCGGGGAGCCUCGCCGGCACCGCCAUGCCGCUGACAGGUGAGCGCCCGGGACCGGCGUGGUCUACAUGCCAGUGGUUGCGGCGGCUGCGGUACCGGGUGGCCCGGACCGCCCGACGUGGAGGGAGGAAUCGCGAGGAGGAUGGAGGGCCAGACCGGCAGCGAGCUAACGGGAGAUGGCAAAAAGCUACUAGAACCGUCGACGCAGAUCUGUGUAGACUAGUCGAGGUCGAGGGAGGCUUUAUCAACGGCAUCUCGGGUGAUAUUUCAUUCGUACUUUAUUGCAGUUCGGCGCGGAUAUAUAUUCUGUCGCCUGCAUGCGUUCUUCGUUGCGUCUGCUGAUCGUUUGCUGAGUCCUCCACACGAGCGGUAUACUAUGAACAUAGACGAAUAGGUAGAUUGAUUGAUGAUCAUGGUCGAUCCGCUGUUGCCGAAUACGGCAGUGCCGCACGUAGUGCUGAUUAUUAAUAACAGGGUCAUACUACUGGAAUCGGCAACAUUGUCUAUUGCCGGAAGAUUACCCGCUCCAAUGUUUAUCCCUAAAACAAGUAAAUUGCAGGAAACCGGGCUAAGAGAGCAACUUCAAUCUUGUUACCGACAAGUCUUUUUACUCGUUUCGUAAUAUAAGAUUCUGUGAUUAGCUUAUUAGUCACAUUGGUUCCAAGCUUGUUGUGAUGUUUUAUUAUCGAGUGAGCAUUGAGAUACCUCUUCGUCACACCGAGUGACAAAUCACAGUCUUGAUCCAGUCAAUUGAACAGACAUCCUCGGAGAUACCUGUAGAGCAUAUUUAUAAUCAUCCAGUUACGUUGUCAGGUUUGAGUCUUGUCCAUCACAUCAUUCUUUUAAUGAUGUGAUCCCGUUAUCAAAUGAGAACUCAUGUUUAUGUCUAGGAAUCCUUAGUCAUCUUUGAUCAACGAGCUAGUCCAGUAGAGGCUUACUAGGGACACUUUGUUGUCUAUGUAUCUACACAUGUAUUUAAGUUUUCAAUCAAUACAAUUAUAGCAUGGAUAAUAAACAGUUAUCAUGAACAAGGAUAAUAACCACUUUAUUAUUGCCUCUAGUGCAUAUUUCUAACAAUCAUAUUACAUUGGUCAUCAUAUAACAUAUAACAUAUAACUUAGAUCAUCACAUCACAUAGGUCAUCACAUUAGAUAUAACAUAUAACUUAGGUCAUCAUAGAUAGCUUGAAGCAUCAUAUUUAAUAGAUUCUUGCACAUCAUAGUAGAGUCCAACAUAGGUCACAACUUAAAAUAAACACCAUAAUUCCAACUUAGGUCACAACUACACAUCCAGAGUCCACAUUUACUAGUUCUAAACAACAUCAUACUUCACAAAAGGUCAGCUAAGCAUGCUUCUUCUACAUGUUGAUUUGGAUCUUGCUCUUGCUCUACAUCUUCUUCAUUCUGUUAAGAUGUUCUGGGUUCUCUUCAAAUUCUACCUGUUCCUCUCCUCCGACCUUAGCAAAUCAGCAAUGUAAAGCUUCAACUCAGUCCUGCCUGCAGUGAGCUUCUCAUGUCCCUUCUUCAGGUCACCCAUGUGAAUCUUCAACUUUCAGUUCUCCUUUGAGUUCAUCAACUUGCAACUACAAGUUCCUACUAGCUUUGCUGACCUGUUGCUUCUGUUUCAAAUGCUUGAGCUUCAGGUUCUGGAUGACACUGCCUUGAGCUUGUGAAAGGUUCAUCAGGACUUUAUACUUCUCCUGCAGCUUGAAGAUCUCUGCACCUUCCUUCUCCAUCUCUGUCUUCAUAUCAGAGACAACUGAGUUGGUAACCUCAACACCCUUCAUCUUAGCAUUAAAAUAGCUAAAAUCCAUCAUCCUAUCCUCUUGGGCAUUGAAAAUAUGAUACACAUAUUCAACCAAUUUGUCAUAGGUGGCAUCCAGUUUGUUUUUCUCCUCUGUCAAAUGGUUCAUAGUAAGUGAAUUCUCAAGGUUAUCCUUCCUCCUACCACUCCUGCUAUCUUCAUACAUCUCCCAUAGCUUCAACAAGGCAUUAUGCAGUUUACGAGUCCACUCUGGGUCAACCCAUCCAACAAAACCAUAGUUCUCACCUUCCCGCAAUGUAAACAACUCAUAUAUUAUUAGUAACUAUGCAAAUGAUUUCCAAUUAACUCAGAACAACACUGAACCCUAGCAUGUGCAAUGUAAACAACAUUUAUAUUUUAAACAACACUGAACCAAUCUCCUAGGCUAAUUAUCUAAGAACUCAACUAUUAACAACUCCCCCCUAGAAAAUAACCAAACUAUGAGCAUCCCACACUUUAAAAUAACUGAACUUUGAGCAACUGGCAAUUAAGAAACAAGUCACACCUUGAGCAUCUGACACAAUUAGUGAGCCGCCCAAUUAAAGAAUGAACAUCUCACAUUGAACACUCACUAGAUUUUUAACAACACACAGUAAACAACCAUUUAGCUGGCCAAUUAAUGACUCAGUUAGAUUAAACAAUGAACUUCAACACUGCAAACUAAGUUGUUGACAUGUUACACAAUCUCCAUCAGCGCAUGGCUCGGGUAGAUUAAACAAUUACACAAUCUGCAUCAACACAUGGCUAAACUAAAAUAUGACCAUCAGAUCUGCCAACAUAAAUUAUGCACCGGACCAUGUGCUUACUAUCAUUGUUAAUACAAAACAUAUAGCUUUUGUGCAACAUCUGACCUUAUUAGCACACACUAAAAACCUCUUGCCCAUGUCAAAUUCUUCAAAGGCCACAUGCCUCUCAGCUGCCAGACCAUGGUGCUAACAAGGAACCAGCGGUGCUGUCUCAACAUCCAUGUAGUCCUGGUCUUCAAUGCUAGCAGGGACCUACAACAGCAAAAUGAACAAAGAAUUCCCCAAAUCAAAUCGAAUCCCCCAAGAACACAAAUCCUAACCCUAAACCUAGUUCUACAACUCACCUGGUACUUCAUGCCAUCGUCGGAGGAGCUGAUGUAUAACAGGCUGGAGUAUUCGUUGCUGCUCUCGUCCUCGUACACCAUGGCACAACGACGGCGGCGGCAGCAAUGGUCGACUGCGAAUCGAAGGGGGGGGGAGGGAGAGAGCUUGAGGAGAGGAAGAGAGUGCGCCGGGGUCCGGCUCGGUUCGACCGAGCCCGCUAAGACCGACCACGUCGGCCUCGUCCUACUCAGCAGAGCGGCACAUGCCAGUUGGCCAUGUAUCACUGAUAGGUGGGGCUGCGCGGUCAGAUCCACGGUCAAUACAGGGUUAUAUGGCUGUUAGACCUUUUUGCAACAAUUAUGCCCUAAAAUGGUAUUGAACUGCGACCAACACAAUUUGUGGUACUGACUUGUAACAUGGUAUCGAAGUGUGGUAACUCCCUGCAAUUAACUCGGUCAGGUAAGGAUUCCCCUGUGUCGUCGAUGACGCGGUGGUCGGGGGUCAGGUCCGACGCUUUAACAUAAUAACAUGCCGUUACAUGGCAGUGGCUGCAAUACCCUCGACUCUCAUCCGCAAAAAAAAAAGGAUUACCCUCGACUCUUUAUUGAACAAACUUAUGCAAUAAUAACUGAUGCAAAAAUGGCAACAAAGGAGCAUGCAAUGAUGGAGCUAUUACUUCGGUGGGUAACCAUUCCACAAGGAGCUUGCAAUGAUGUAGCCAUAAACAUACCACCGAAUGUUGCCCGUGACGCUUGUUUUCAUCUGUAUAAUAGCCAUGAAUAUAUCCGACACACCUAUAAUAACUCAAAUAACCCCUCACAAAAAAAAAACUGAAAUAAUAAAUAUAUGUCUAUGUGUUGCCUGUGGUGCUCAAUGUUUUCCCUCUUGUUCUCCCCAGCGAAGAGUUGGGCACAGAGAAGUAUGAAUGUGGGCAGAUGUAUAUGUCAUCGAGUGGAGCAUAUGCUAUGUAAAUAGUAGCAUGAAGCCACGAACACUAUAUAACUGAAUGCAUAAAUAAGUUCAAAAGAAUGGCAUUUCAUAUAUUGAUAUGCAGAAUCUUAAUUACUAGGCUACUAGCUAGCUAGCAACUUGGAUACUAUAAAACAUUGAAAUUUGGCAAAGCCGUAUAUUCCAGAAAGAAAGAAUAUGUUGUAGCCUGCUCUCUCUCAGAGAAGAUUUGUGAAAGAAAAACGAAAUUAGACAAGGGAAGCGAGCACCAAAAUUCUAUGCCAACAUACAUACUCCCUCCAUUUUAAAAUAAAUACCGCUGCGUUAAUACUAAAGUUUGGUCCCGCAGCAAGCAUGAUAAGCGAUUCCAAACCUACCAGCAAAAAAAAAAAAAGUACUAAAGUUAUAGUGACUUAGGCCGCGUUCGGACUCCCUCUCCGCUCCAAGGAGGUUGCCGAACAGACACUUAAUACUAAAUUAACGAUACUUAUUUUCAGACAGAGUAUAUAGGAGGAUGCAAUGAUCGGCACAACUGCAACAGUUAACACAUAAGUAGACAAACAGUAAUAAGGUAGAGUGAUGUAGUGAUGAUGAAGAUACCAGUUUUAUUGCAGUAACAAGCUAGUCGAUGAAAAACACAAGCCUACUUUCAGUAUCUAUACGAGUAGGUUAAUUAAGCAGCACGAACUACUUUCCGGUUACAAAAAGCACACCUCACUGCCUCAUAUAUUAGGGGGGAUACAUUCAUAUAUACUGUAGCUCUUGCCGGGCAGGUUCCAGAUUAGUUUCGCCGGCGAUCAGGCCCGAACGUGCACUUCAGGCAGCAGGCGCACAGUCAUAGUCGUCAUCAUCGUCGUCGCCGUCCGACUCGGCCUUCCUAUGCCGCCCGCCGCACCAGGCGUCACACGGCACGGUGGCGUAAACGGCAUAGUCGGGAAUGCGUCCGUCUUGGACGACGAUGAGGCUCAUGACCUUCGACGCCGGUGCCAUGACGAGGAGCUAGCUUCGAGUCUAAGCGCAAGCUAGCUAUAGCUGGUACUGGCAGUCGUGAUGUGGCUGUUGUGGACUUGUGGUGUGUGUUAUCUUCAGAGUAUAGCCGCGUAUGGUGUGGGUUUUAUAGGACGACAGGAUGUGUGGAGAAAUGUGGCGGCACGCGGCGGGUUGCGCCAGGAGCGUGCGUCGGACAUGCCGCUGCGUGCAUGGCCUUGGCGCGGCACGGGCGCGGCCGUGCACACUCAGCACUUCAGCAGCCGGGGAGCCACGGCGGCACCGCCAUGCCGCUGAGCGCUGACAGGUGAGCGCCCGGGACCGGCGCGGUCUACAUGCCAGUGCCUGCGGCGGCUGCGGUACCGGGUGGCCCGGAUCGCCCGACGUGGUGGAGGAAUCGCGAGGAGGAUGGAGGGCCAGCCGGGCAGCGAGCUAACGGGAGAUGCCAAAAAGUUAGAACCGUCGACGCAAAUCUGUGUAGAUAUUUCGCACUUUAUUGCAGUUCAGUGCGGAUAUAUUCUGUCGUCUGCAUGCGUUCGUUGCGUCUGCUUCUUCCCUCCGGCGAUCAAUGUCAAUCCCAGUCGCCACACGGGCGGUACGUGCUCAAAAACAUGUUUUCGGUACGUUGAUGAUCGAUCAUGGUCGAUCCGUCGUUGCCGAAUACGGCAGUACCGCAUGGAGUGCCGACUAUUAAUAACAUGGUCACACUACUGGAAUCGGCAACGUUGUCUAGUGUCGGGAGAUUGCCUGCUCCAAUGUUGACAUCUAAAACAGACACAUUAUUUGUUCGCGGACCCGUGAACACCAAUUCACGGACACUGAUGCGGAAGACGACCAUCCAAUAUCAUCGUGUCAUGGUGGAGGAGAGAGACAGAGGAUGUAUGAAUUUCUGGGGUGACGGUUUUUGGUUGGCUAGACGGUUGUCCGGACUCUCGCAAAAUCUCCUUCCUUUAAUUUACUUCUAGUUUGAGAGAGUUUGUAAGUCUAGACGUGUUUUGGACACUUGAAAGAUAGCAUUGGAUGGCAAAAAGUAUCUGAACCAGGACAUAUAGGGAUGAUUUGACGGUGUGCAUUGAAAAUGCCCUUAUCCGGGAGCUCGACAAUGAGCACCGUUUACCGAGUGGCCACCAGGUAAACUCCCCAAACGUGAAAAGCUCAAAGUUAAGCACCGUUUAUCGACCUUUACAUGACACAUAGUAUUAGAAAACCUCAGCCUCAAAGGUGGACUACUCCCAGAUCGUCAUGGGAACAUCAAAGGGUUGAUGUACUGGUCGAUGGAAAUCAGUUCCAAAAAAAGGUCGAUGAAAAUUGAUUCCCUCCUUCGGCAACGUGGCAGAACAUGGCCAAAACCUAGGGAAAACCAGGCAAAAAUAAAAUGCCAAAAAAGCUUAAAAAACUAUCUAGACCCAAAAAAAGAGCGCAAGAAAAGACCGAAAGUCAAAGAAAGCAACCAACAUGCGCUACACAUUAGGGCAAUUACCCUUUUGGAAGCUCCGUAAGGUAUCCAUGGGUUAGUUGCUGUUGCUGGUGUGGGGAGCUCGGGAACGGUGGCUAGUGCUGCGCUUUCUCAUUUUCUACUCUCUUCGUCCCACAAUGUGAGACAUUUUUGUAAGGUUUCUUGCGUUUUAUGAAUUUUGUGAUUCAUAUAACAUGCAAAUCCACUCGUCGUUCUACGAUUGACGACGGGGUUGUACUAUCUAGGAUGUUGGCGGUCUGUUUGAUUUGAGCCCCAAGUAGCCCGACCGAUAUAUUUGCAUGACCAAAUUUUUAGUAAGAUGGUGUUGUUUGGUUUAUAGCCAUUGUACCAAAUUUUUGGUAAAGUUGUUGGACUUCCAUUUGGUUUGGAACCAACUGAGUCUGCGUAUCGCAACGUGUAUUGGGUUAGGGCUUGGUUUAAUUAAUUCUGGUUUACUUUCAGCAAGUUUGCACACUGCAACAUGUAUGAUUGGGUUAGUGCUUGGUUUAAUGCUGGUUUACUUUCAGUGUUAAGUUGCUAAAAGAGUGAGAUGCAUAUAUCAAUUGAGGUCUCUAGUUUAAUCAGCCCACAUUCAAUUGAGGUCUCUAGUUUAAUCAGCCCACAUUCAAUUGAGGUCUCUAUUUAGAAUUAGAUCACCCUUUGAUGGGAUCAAUAAUUUCUUAAGAGUUCUUAAAUUAUAUUCCUUAAAUUCACUAUGCUCUUGAAUUUUGGAGCUCUUAUAUGAUUGAAGUAUUAAAUUUUGGAUUUAGUUCAUGAUUUUAACCGGGUCAAUAUUUUUUCAAAUCAACCAGCAGCAACCAACCUAUGAAAACAUGUGAGCCCGCGCACCCUCUCGCCACCUAGACAAAAGAUGUGCCAACAUGUAAUACCGUAGCACUAAUAUAAUAUAUGCAUCCACCGACACAGAAAAUUGCCACACCUAAAUAUGGGUUAAAUAGUAGAUAACACCGAAUCACAUAGCGGAAUGCCCAUCAAAACACCUCACUAUAAAAAAAGGACACACUCCAUCGUCUCUCCCACUCGCCAAAUCAAAUAUUCUUGAGUUUUAAAUGUUUCAAAAGUGAAUUUUUCAUUAACUUUGAUCAAGUUCAGAACCAAAAAUAUCAACAUCCACGUAUAUCUAAUACACUAUGCUCCAUAAUUGUAGAGGUCUCACAAUCAGUUGACGUUUUCAAUUCGGAAUUGAGUCACUCAAUUUUGACUGGAUCAACAAUUUCUAAAGAGUUCUCAAAUUCAAUUCUUUUAAUUCAAUAUGCUCUUGAAUUUUGUAGCUAUCUUAUAUGAUUAAGGUAUUUAUAUUUGUAUUUCUUUCAUGAUUUUGACCGGGUGAACAAUUCUUCAAAUCAAUCGGUAGCAACUGACCUAUAAAAACAUAUCACCCCACAACACCCUCUGGCCACAUAGAAAAAAGAGGUGCCAACAUGUAAUACCGUAGCACCAAUAUAAUACAUGUAGCCACCAACAAAGAGAAUUAACACACAAAAAUAUGGGUUAAUUAGUAGAUAACAUUGAAUCACACAACGGAAUGCCAACCAAAACACCGCACUAUAAAUAAAAAGAAGACACACUCCGUCGUCUAUCCCACUCUCCAAAUCAAAUAUUCCCGAGUUUCAAAAUAUAAGGUGCAUUAUUUUUUUGGAAAGUGAAAUUUCAUUAACUUUGACUAUGCCCAGAGCCAAAAAUAUCGACAUCCCCGUAAAUCUAACACACUAUGCUCCCUAAUUUUAAAGGUCUCACAAUCAAAUGACGUCUUCAAUUUGGUUGGGUCACUCGAUUUUGACCCGGUCAACAUUUUCUUAAUGCAUCUCAAUAAUUUUAUAAAUCAAUCGGCAGCAACCAACAUAUAAAAACAUAUCAUCCCGCAACGCCCUCUUGUCACCUUGAAAAAAGAGGUGUCAACAUGUAAUAUUGUAAUACCUUUAGUCCCGGUUUGUGUCUCAAACCGGGACUAAAGUCCUCUGCCUAUACAUAGCACAACCCCCCUCUCCACUCUUCCUUGCAUUUUUCUUGGAUGGAGGAUUGUGGGUGUGUGCUAGCUCUCCACUUUUUUUUUAUGCACUAGAGGUGUUUGUUGAAAUGUGUGUUAGAGCGAUGCCGCCUCAGUUCACCGAACACAACUACGAUAUGAGAUGCCUGAGCCACGCUUAAACCUCUUCCUCUUUAUUUCUACUUAUUCUAAAAGGUUAGCAACUAUAUUUCCUCGUUUAGGCCGUGCGGUACUAAUUUUUAGGAUCGUAAUUGUAUUUGAUAUACUGUCGUAUAACGCAGAUGAGCCAUCCAUGGAUGUACGGUGAUCGACGCACAGCCGCUUACAGAGAAGGCGUGCAUUCUUUUCGAGAUGCAGCCGAUGCGAACAAGCAUGGUGGUGGCUUUAUGUUUUGUCCAUGUGUUGAAUGUCGGAAUGAGAAGGAUUACACUUCCUCAAGAGUCAUUCAGAGCCACCUGCUUCGGUCCGGUUUUAUGUCGGACUAUAAUGUUUGGACCAAGCACGGAGAAAGAGGGGUUAUGAUGGAAGACGACGAUGAAGAAGAAAAGAACGAUGAUGACAACUACCGAUCUAUGUUCCCUGAGUAUGCUGAUACCGCAAUGGAAGACAAUGAAGAAGAAGAUCAGGAUGAAGAACGGGAACCAGAUGAGCCUGCUGAUGAUCUUGGCCGGGUCAUUUCUGAUGCACAGCGAGGUUGCGACACAGAAAAGGAGAGGUUACAGUUCGAGCAGAUGUUACAGGACCACAACAAAUUGUUGUACCCAACUUGUGAAGAUGGCCAGAAGAAGCUGGGUAGCACACUGGAAUUGCUGAAGUGGAAGGCAGAGACCGGUGUGACUGACUCGUCAUUCGAGAAGUUGCUGGUACUAAUGAAGAAGAUGCUUCCAAGAAAGAACGAAUUGCCCGCCAGCACGUACGAAGCAAAGAAGCUUGUCUGCCCUCUAGGAUUAGACGUGCAGAAGAUACAUGCAUGCCCUAAUGACUGCAUCCUCUACCGCGGUGAGAAGUACGAGAAUAUGGAUAAAUGCCCGGUAUGCACUGCAUUGCGGUAUAAGAUCAGAAAAGAUGACCCUGGUGAUAUUGAGGGCGAGCCACCCAGGAAGAGGGUUCCUGCCAAGGUGAUGUGGUAUGCUCCUAUAAUACCACGGUUGAAACGUCUGUUCAGAAAUAAAGAUCAUGCGAAGUUGUUGCGAUGGCACAUGGAAGAUCGUAUGAAAGACGAUAAGUUGAGGCACACCGCUGAUGGUCGGCAGUGGAGAAAAAUCGAGAGAGAGAGUUCCCGAGAUUUGCAGCUGACGCAAGGAACUUAUGGUUAGGUCUGAGUACAGAUCGCAUGAAUCCUUUUGGGGAGCAGAGUUGCAGUCACAACACCUGGCCCGUUACUCUAUGUAUCUACAACCUUCGUCCUUGGUUGUGCAUGAAGCGGAAGUUCAUUAUGAUGCCAGUGCUUAUCCAAGGUCCAAAGCAACCCGGCAACGAUAUUGAUGUGUACCUAAGGCCAUUAGUUGAUGAACUUUUACAGCUGUGGGCCAAACCAGGUGUACGUGUGUGGGACGAGCACAAACAAGAGGAAUUUGACCUUCGAGCGUUGCUUUUCGUAACCAUCAAUGAUUGGCCUGCUCUUAGUAACAUUUCAGGACAUUCAAACAAGGGAUUCAAUGCAUGCACGCACUGUUUGGAUAAGAUAGAAAGUAUAUAUCUGGACAAAUGUAGGAAGUAUGUGUACCUGUACAAUCGUCGUUUUCUUCCGCCCAAGCAUCCCUUAAAGAAAAAAGGCAAGCAUUUCAAUGGCAAGGCAGAACCCCGGGGGAAGCCUGUCAUCCGUACUGGUGCUGAAGUAUUUGAUAUGGUCAAAGAUUUAAAAGUAAUCUUUGGAAAGGGUCCUGGCAGCCAACCUGUUCCUAACGGCCCUGAUAAGCGCGUACCCAUGUGGAAGAAGAAAUCUAUAUUUUGGGAGCUACCCUACUAGGAAGUCCAUGAGGUCCGCUCGGCAAUCGACGUGAUGCACCUGACGAAGAAUCUCUGCGUGAAUAUUCUAGGCUUCCUGGGCUUGUAUGGGAAGUCAAAAGAUACACCGGAAGCACGGGAGGACCAGGAACGUCAUAAAGGAAGAGAUGGCAUGCAUCCAGGGCAGUUUCAAGGGCGUGCCAGCUACGCACUUACUAAGGAAGAGAAGGAAAUCUUCUUUGAAGUCCUUUUCAGUAUCAAGGUCCCGACUGGCUUCUCGUCGAAUAUAAAGGGAAUCGUAAAUAUGAAAGACAAAAAAUUCCAAAACCUAAAGUCUCAUGACUGCCACGUGCUUAUGACGCAAUUGCUUCCGGUUGCAUUGAGGGGAAUUCUACCGGAAAAUGCUCGCCUGGCAAUUGUGAAGGUAUGUGCAUUCCUCAAUGCAAUUUCUCAGAAGGUAAUCGAUCGAGAAAGUCUAUCAGGGUUACAGAUUGAUGUGGUCCAAUGUCUGGUCAGCUUUGAGUUGUUGUUCCCGCCAUCCUUCUUCAAUAUAAUGACACACCUCCUAGUUCACCUAGUCGAAGAGAUUAGAAUUCUCGGUCAUGUGUUUCUACACAAUAUGUUCCCCUUCGAGAGGUUCAUGGGAGUCUUAAAGAAAUAUGUUCGUAAUCGUGCUAGGCCAGAAGGAAGCAUCUCCAAGGGCUAUGGAACAGAGGAGGUCAUUGAGUUUUGUGUGGACUUUCUUCCUGACCUUAAGCCGAUUGAUGUUCCUGAAUCUUGGUAUGAGGGUAGGCUGACAGGAAAAGGCACACUAGGAAGGAAAGCAAAAUUAUGUAUGGACGGGCAUUCUUUCUCUCAAGCACACUACACAGUUCUACAUAAUUCCACCGUGGUGGCUCCGUAUAUCGUGAGACACAAGAAUAUUCUACGCUCCGAAAACCCGGGGAAGGCUGACUCUUGGAUUAAAGGGGAACACGAGAAGACUUUCGGCAGUUGGUUGCAGACACAUCUCAUGAAUGACGACACCGUUGGAGAUCAGCUAUACUGUUUGGCCAGGCCACCAUCUUCGACUAUAUGUACUUUCCAAGGGUAUGAGACAAAUGGGAAUACAUUUUACACGGUUGCCCGAGAUAAAAAGAGCACCAACCAAAAUAGUGGUGUCCGCUUUGAUGCAACAGACGAGAAUGGGCACUGUUUGGAAACAUAUUACGGGUACAUAGAGGAGAUAUGGGAAUUUGACUAUGGACCUACUUUUAAGAUCCCUUUGUUUCGAUGCAAAUGGGUGAAGCUGACAGGAGGCGGGGUAGUUGUAGACCAAAAGUACGACAUGGCAACAGUGGAUCUCAACAAUCUUGCGUACAUGGACGAACCAUUUGUCCUAGCCAAUGAUGUCGCUCAGGUUUUCUAUGUGAAGGACAUGUCUACAAAAACGAGAAGAAGAAAUCAGCAAAAGAAGAUAUCGUCCGAUGAGCCAAAACGCCACAUAGUUCUUUCAGGAAAAAGAAACAUCGUGGGAGUAGAUGAUAAGACAGACAUGUCAGAAGAUUAUAAUAAGUUUCAUGAAAUUCCGCUCUUCAAAGUGAAAACUGACCAAAGCAUCCUACUGAAUGAUGAAGAUUCUCCAUGGCUACGACCUAGAAGAAAAUAGAAAUAAUAGAUAGGAAUAUUGGUGCAAUAAUGUAAUAAUGUAUUAAACCUUUUAUGUAAUGCAUGUAUGGAAUGUACUAAAUUUCAAACACUUUUCAUUUUCAUAGUUUUAUCAAAUUCUCAAAUACACAAAAAGAAUUUUAAUAAACCUUUGUAAGAGAUGAGUUCUCGUUCGAAACCCUCAUACUUCGAGAGAGAUUGUCCAUUUUGUACACGAAGUGCAUCCAGUUUUUGUCGUAGCCCUCUCAACUUUUUAACACAUGCUAUGUGGGUGAAAUGAUGAUAGCAUGCCAACUUUCAACAUUUUCAGAGUUCAUUUGUAGUGCUUUUCAAUUUCAGGGUCAACUAGCUCAAAAAAAUAAGUAAAUGCACGAAGAAUACCAAAUGAAGUCAAAAAUUGUUGAAAUUUUGUGAUGUGCCUUUGAAUGGUGCAUUUUGAACACACAAAAAGUAUGGAGUUCAAAUAAGUUUAAAAAAAUGAAUUCCCUUUGUAAGAGAUGAGUUCUCGUUCGAAACUCUGAUACUUCGAGAGAGAUUGUUCGUUUUGUACACGAAGUGCAUCCAGUUUUUGUCGUAGCCCUCUCAACUUUUUAACACAUGCCACAUAACCUUAUAGGAGCAUACCACAUAACCUUAGCAGGAACCUUCUUCCUGGGGUAUCGUCAUCGCCCUCAACAUCAUCAGGGUCAUCCUGUCCGAUCUUGUACCGACAUGCAGUGCAUACCGGGCAUUUAUCCAUAUUCUCGUACUUCUCACCGCGGUACAGGAUGCAGUCAUUAAUGCAUGCAUGUAUAUUCUCCACAUCUAAUCCAAGAGGGCAGAUAGACUUCUUUGCUUCGUACGUAGUCUCGGGAAAUUCGUUAUCCUUUGGAAGCUUCGGCUUCAAUAUUUUCAGUAACUUCUCAAAUCCCUUGUCAGAUAAACCAGUUUCUACCUUCCAUUUCAAUAGUUCCAGUGUGGUACCAAGCUUUGUGCUGCCAUCUUCGCAAUUUGGGUACAACAACUUUUCAUGAUCCUUUAGCACGACCUCCAAUUUCAGCUUCUCCUUUUCUGUAUCGCAUUCUCUCUUUACAUCAGAAAUGACCCGACCAAGACCAUCAACGGGCUCAUCUGAUGCCGGUUGUUCUUCACCUCCUUCUUCUUCAUUGUCUUCCAUUGUAGUAUCACUGUAUUCUUCAGUGAACAUAGGAUAGUUGUCAUCACCAUCUUCUUCUUCAUUGUGUUCCAUCCUAACCCCUCUUUCUCCGUGCAUGGUCCAACAAUAAUAUGUGGGUAUGAAACCUCUCUGAAGCAAGUGGAGAUGAAUGUUUUUCGAUCUAGAGUAUUCCUUCACGUUUCGACAAACAACACAUGGACAAGGCAUAAAAUUAUCCACUUUGUUUGCCUUAGCCACAUCGAUAAAUUUGUGCAUGCCUUUUAUAAAUCCGGAACCGCGUCGUUCGCCGUACAUCCAUCACUUCCGUGCAUCGAUCUGGCAUCAUACAUGAAUAGUGAAAUGACCACCGUACAUUGACACAUGCAAUAUUUUUGUAUCAAUUACAGAUGAAAAGGAUAGGGUUGCUAACCUCGGUCGAGGAUACCAUUUUGUGUGAACUUAAGUGUGAUUCGGGCAUUAGUCGAGGUUCUUAAUGUACUCCGAAGUGUGUCGAUCACCGUACAUCCAUUGGCGAUUCAUCUCUAUUAUGAAAUUAAAUAUAUCAAAAAACCAUUGCAGAACAUAUGACCAAAUUAAUACAAGUUCAUCAUCACAUUAAAGCCAAAGAACAGUAGUGAUCAAAUGUUAUUAUUGCAAAAAAUAAAUACAUAAAGUUUUCUCAUAAAACAACAUACAACUAUGUAAAACAUUUAAAUAAAACAAAAAAUGCGAUCAAAAUCGCAACUAAGGUAACAAUUGACCAAACAGCAUAAUGAUACCAAGCCUCUUUAUCAAUGGCAUAUUUUCUAAUAUUUCUAAUCUUCAAGCGCAUUUUAUCCAUCUUCAAGCGCAUUGCAUCCAUCUUCAACCGCAUCACAUCGUUCUUCAUCUUGCGAUCAUCGAUGACAUCGGCGACAUGAAACUCCAGUUCCAUAUUCUUAUCCUCAAUUAUUUUCAAUUUUUUCUUCAAGUAUUUGUUUUCUUUUUCAACCAAAUUUAACUUCUCGAGAAGAAUUUCUAUGUGGUUUGGAAUUUCCGGUUCACAUACCUCCUAGAUUAAAAAAUAUAUGUCACAUUGGUCGUCAUAAUUGUCAUAAACACUAAAUAAAACAAAUAGUUAUAAAAGAUAAUAUAUACCACAUCCGAAUCAUAGACAGGACGAGGACCGACGGAGGCGGAUACCAAAACCAUCGCACUAUAUAAUAACAAAAAAUAAUGAAAGUGAGUAAUUUAUACAAGUAUGUAUCUAAAUCAUACAAGUAAGACUUUUUUCUUUUAAAAAGAAGAUAAGAACAAGAGGCUCACCACGGUGGUGCUCGCGACGAGAUCGGCGCGGGGCGAUCGACAAUGGUGAGGACGGGCACGGGACGACACCCUACACAUGUGCAGACUCUAAGAAGUUAAUUUGAGCAUUUGAAACCAGCUACACUAGCAGUGACAAAUGAAAGGAUGAAGUAGCUAACCUUUUAAAACACUUGUGCAGUUGGUGCACGGCCAAACCUAGACAAAUAUUAAGGAAAAUGGAGCUUGGAGGUCGAGCUUGGAGAGGAGAAAGCUUAAGUAGAGUGGCUCGGGCAUUUCAUAGAACACGUCAUGUGCAUGAACUAGAGUGGCAAGAGCAUGGCAUGGUCACACUUCAACAACCAAAAAACAGGGGAGAGGGUGGGCAGGCGCGAGGGUUUAUAUAGGCAACACUUUAGUCCCGGCUUUUGUCUAAAACCGGGACUAAUAGCCUAACCUUUAGUCCCGGUUCUUGCCACAAACCGGGACUAAUGCUCCGCGGCACGCCCCUGCUUCCCGCCUUUUGGUCUGCCGAAAAAGGGCCUUUAGUCCCGGGUCGUGGCUCCACCCGGGACUAAAGGGGGUCUUUAGUCCCGGAUCGAGCCCCGAACCGGGACUAAAGAUCCACCUAUAUAAGCGGGAGUCAGAAAAUUUCCAACCCAAAUCGCAUUUCCUUCUAUCCUUCUUCCUCGUUCUCCUGCCCAGCGCGGCACAGCGACGAACUCGGCGACGCCGUCAGGCUCCCCGCCGUCCUGCUCGCCGCCGCCUGUCGUCGCCGUCGUCCUCCUCGCCGCGCGCCGCCCUCCUCGCCGUGCGUCGCCGUCCUCCUCGCCGCGCGCCGUCGACACCUCCGGCCGGUAAGCCCCCCACCCCCUCCUCCCCAACACUCUGACCAGUAGAAGAAAAGAAGAAAAAGGAGAAGAAAGGAAGAAAAAGGAGAAGAAAAGAAGAAAAAGGAGAAGAAAGGAAGAAAAAGGAGAAGAAAAGAAGAAAAAGGAGAAGAAAAGAAGAAAAAGGGAAGAAAGGAAGAAAAAGGAGAAGAAAAAGGGAAGAAAACAAGAAAAAGAUUUUUUUUGUCAUUUAAUUCCUAUUGUUAUUAGGUUUGUGCUAGAUUAUUAGGGUUAGUAAUAUGUAGAAUUAGGAAAAAGGAAAAUAAGAAGAGGAGGAGAAGAAAAGAAGAAAAAGGAGAAUAAGAAGAGGAGGAGAGGAGAAGAAGAGGAAAAAUAGAAGAAGAGGAGAAGUAGAAGAAGAGAAAAAAAUUAGAAGAGGAGGAGAGGAGAAGUAGAAGAAGAGAAGAGGAGAAGUAGUAGAAGAAGAGGAGAAGAAGAAGUAGAAGAAGAGGAGAAAUAGAAGAAGAGGAAAAAUUAGUAUAGGGUUACAAGAAGAAGAAAUUUUUUUUGUCAUUUAAUUUUGCUAUUGUAUAGUGUAUAUGCUUAAGUGUUAAUAGUGUUUCUUAGAUUAUUGCUUAAUUUUGCUAUUGUAUAUGCUUAAGUGUUAAUAGUUUAAUUUUGCUAUUGUAUAUGCUUAAGUGUUAAUAGUUUAUUUUUAGCAAGAAAAUUAAUAGAACUAGUUUAAUUUUGAUAUUGUAUAUGCUUAAGUGUCCGAGACUAGGCUUCGCCUGGCUAGUAUUUUAGAGUUUAGGUUCUAGCCAAGACCCGGGACUAAAGAUCCUCCUAUAUAAAACGACACUUCGAAGUUUCCAACCCCUCUUAUAUAGUUUGUUAGUUUAUUAGUUAAUCAAAUGUCCGUUUUUUGCAGAACUAUGGAUCCACAUAUCAGGAACCUCGAAGAGGAAGAACUUCUCAAAGAUAUAAUCAAAGACGGCCCCGACGUUGAACCAGCUGAAUCUCCGUAGUCAUAUCUAAACCCCUCCAAAUAUGGAAUGGAGGUCGAGCGACACGAAGAUGAAGCCAAUGGGGCAGGAGAUAGGUCCAAUGACGAAGAAGGUGAUAGCUCCACUGAUGGAGAAGCCGGUGGAGAAGCCGGUGAAGAAAUAAUAAACUCCGGCGAGGUAUACAUAUGAAGUUCGACAAUCACUUGUAAUAUGUGAAAAAUAUUGGAGAUAGCUCUAUAUUGUAUGCAUAUACAUUCAUUUGACGAAUGUUUCUCCCUCUUAGGCCUCCACAUCGAGCAAAGCUACGAAACGAGGCCCGACUAGAAAGUUGGAUGCACGGACGCAUUACACCUUUGAGGUGAUAUUGCCUACGGACGAACCCAAGCUUCCUAAGAAUACUGCUGACACAUUUAAGAAGCAAUGCAGAGUUCUCGUUAGGGAUCACGUCCCGAUCAGCGUUUGGGAGUGGAACAAGCGCAAAGGGGCAGCCGAUAGUGACUAUGUCGCUGAAAGGUACAAAGAUAAUCUUUGGAAUGAUCUCAUGUCACAUUUCAACCUGCCAGAAUGUGAGAAUGAAGACGCCGCAGACAAACUGAGGGCCAAAGUCAAGCAGUGGACUUUAAAGAAGAUGGCCGAACUGUUCCGUAGCUGGAAGAAGAAGCUAUGGAAAAACUAUCUGAAGACAAAGAAAAGUGCCAGUAUUCGAGGGGUAUCUAGCCAAGCAGGCGAAUCACUCGACAAACGCGAGGCUUCGGUCCUUCUUACCCGUGGUGGCUUGGGUUUGCCAGAGACCAAGACACUUACAGAAGCCGAGAGAGAGCAAAGAAGCGGCGGCAGAGGAUGAGGAGAAUGACAAGUUCAACCAGUUGCUUGCGAGGAUUAACGAGCAACAGAAGCAGAUUGAUGAGCUUAGAGGAGUAGCGCGCCAGGAAGAUCCUGCACUUGAUAUUACCGGCGCACCAUCUAAGCGGAAAAGCAGCGUGGCUGAAUCUGAGGCCCCGCCUGACGAUGCACGAAGAAUGAUAGAGGGCGGUCCCAGCUACCCCGUGGAUGGAAUCAAGGAGUCAACAUCAUGUGAACUCCAUCAGAAAUUCAAGAACAUAUCCAUGAAGGUGGCCGUCAGACAAGCUUUACCUUCUGGUCCUGAUGCACGCUGGCAUGGCCGUGAGAUUCCAGCUGUCUUUGCUAAAGUCGGGGUGGAUGAAAUCAUGGCGGGGUUUCAUGAUAUGGAGCUCGACAUAGCUGGACCCGAAGAUGAGAGGACACUCGGAGAAGUACUGGGUGGAGUCAUCCUAUGGGACAAGAACUACAUCAAGCUUCCAGGCUCGGCCCCAAGGACAACACCGCCUUCGAGUCGUCGCAGGUCACCUACACCUCCAUUACCUCCAAGCCCUCCACAUGACGUAGUCUAGCACAACACGAGUCCAUCUCGAUCACCGCUGCCGGACUUGGGUCGUCCGUCUCCGCCACCGCCCGCUCCGGAUACUAAGCGGGAGCGUGCCACCAAGAACGCUCCGUCGACGAUUUCUAAGCGACGGAGCCCCCAAAAGCGCAAAUGGUCACCCCUCCCAAAGGUACCUCAUGCUAAUCUUCCUAUCAGACCUUAUGAUCGUACCCCCGAGGAAAAUGCCAGGAUAGCAAAGGAACAUCAUGAUGCGCAGAUGAAAAAGAAGGAACCAGAGCCUCGCCCGGAAUACACCGAGAAGCAAAUAGCAUUUGCAAAAUACUUCACGACCCUUCCAUCACAGUAUGACUUACACCAUAAGCCUGAUGACUAUACACGCACAUUGCAGAAGGAAGUGAAAAAGAGCAGAUCACGUGCAAGUGCAAGUGGGAGCAAAUCAAGUUCAACUACAAGCAAGAAAAAAUCAGACGUUUCUCAACUUGGACAACAGGCCAAACAGUCGAUCCCACCCCUCAAGGUGUUAACCGAGAAUGUCCCCCCCCCCCGGUGCAGGGGCAAGAUUUUGAAUUAGCAAAGAAGUGGGCGGCUGAAUGGGGUGUCUCGGUUGAAGAUGUUCUGGCUUCCCAAGACGACAGGUUACCCAAGGCUGUGGUAGCCCCUAAGCCACAGUUUGUCAUGAGAGAACCUUUGGUCAGCAAAGAUGAUCUCCCAAUAAAUAUGCGUUACUUGCAUACAUGGUACUUAAGUGAAUCAAAGAAUGGGAGAACGAUGAUCGUGGUGAGUGUCCCACGGGAGUACUUCGGCCGCCCCGAAGAAAUCCAUAUCAACUUUGAUGAACUCUUCCAUAUGUACAAUGGCGACGCCCUCGACAAAUCGCUUAUGAGUUGCUAUUGUCUGUAAGUUUUUCAAUUCGUUGUCUACAUAUAACUUGUUUAGUUAUUUCAAUUCAUUGUCUAUAUAUAACUUGUACUCUAUUAUGCAGAAUGAAGAUUCUGGAUUGUAAAAGUAAGAACAUCCUAAAUAUUGGGUUUAUUGACCCAGAUAAAAUACAUAUAGCGACACUAACUGAUAAACCUAAGGAGACGGAGGAAAACCUUCUAAGGUUUCUAACAGAUCAAAAAUUUUGUGACCACAUACUGUUUCCAUACAACUUCAGGUGGGGGUCUUUACUCUGUUGUGUCCAUUCACUUAUAAGUGUAAUUGAUAAGUUACUGACACACACUCACACACAUAUAUAUAUAUACAUGUGCAGCUUUCAUUGGAUUCUGUUGGACAUUCAAAUUGAUAAGGGAAGAGUUGAUGCCUUCGACCCAUUAUCGAGACCCUUGGAACAAUUCCAAAGCCUGCAGGACAUGCUCCAAGGGUAAUUUCAAUCAUUCUUGCGCUCUAUCGGUCUCUUUCGAUGAUUUUCUGAUAUAUCAAUUAAUAAAAAACUUAGCAAAUCAUUAUCCUUGUCGGGCAGGGUUUGGAAGCGGUUCAAGUGCGUGACUCCCGGUAUCGAGCCUGAGAAGCUGACCUUUAGAGCGGCUCAGGUAAGUAGUAGUAUGAUAUACUUCUAUUUUCAAUACAUUUAUGAUGCUAGAUUAUUAUUUUGAUUAUAUAUAUUCUAUUCUCGUAAAGUGCGACCAGCAGCCACGGGGGACGCAUCUAUGCAGAUACUAUGUUUGCGAGACCAUUCGCACGUUUACCUCUGAGCACAAGGAUCACAAAUUCGACGUAAGCAAUGAACAUUCACACCUCUAUUUUUUACCCGUCAUUCUUUGUUAUCAUGAUUGAUAUUCAUAUUCAUCUCCUCUUCUUAUAUAGUACACGGCCAUGAGGACGAAGGUCCUACCAGAGCAACGCGCGAUUGCUGUUGCAGAGGAGCUUGCGACCUUUCUGAAGACGGAAGCUAUAGAUGACAAAGGAUGAUUUAGUGNAUUGUUUUACCUAGGUUCACGUGCUUAGCAUUGUUUCUUCAUGGGUCACCAAACUCAUCUCUUUCCUAUUAAUUAGCUUGUCACAUCAGAUUUUUUAUCUAUGUAUCAGUUUUAACAUCUGUAUAAGGUGGAGCAUUCGGAGUAGCCUAAUAUGAUUGUCGGUACUCAAUAGUACAUGGAAUACACAGCAGUGAGUGGGCCAUGACACUUUAAAUUCGUAUUAGAUAUGCAAUCGAAAAGAUCUUAUAUUAGUUUGCAGAGGUAUUACUGAUCAAAAUGUCAGUUUUAUUGAAGGCCGGUCUCAAACAGUAUAGUGAUGUUCUGAUCAAGAUAUCAGUUUUAUUGCAGUAACAAGCUAGAGGAUGAAAAGCACAAGCCUACUUUCAAUAUCUAUACGAGAGUAGGCAACUAAGCAUAGCUAAAUUGAGUAUAUUUAGCCAGCAGCGCCAGCACACGGUGGGUUAAUUAAGCGGUGCGAACUACUUCCCGGUUACACAAAACACACCUCAUUGCCACGUAUAUUAGGGGGAUACAUUCGUACUAGCUCUUGCCGUUGGCGGGCAGGUUCCGGAUUCGUCUCGCCGGGGACAAGGCACGAACGUGCACUUUAGGCAGGCGCGCAGUCAUAGUCGUCAUCAUUGUCGUCGUCGUCCGACUCAGCCUUCCUAUGCCGCCCGCCGCAGCAGUCGUCACUCGGCGCGGCAUCGCAAACGGCAUAGGUGGCAAUGCCGCCGUCUUGGACGACGAUGGGGCUCAUGACCAUGGACGCCGGCGCCAUGACGAGGAGCUAGCUUGAGUAUGCAGGCGAAUCACAAGCUUGAGGUCUAAGCCUGGCGAUGCUAGC
This 57669-nucleotide long non-coding RNA is filed under the name Hordeum vulgare. Its description in RNAcentral is "long non-coding RNA (HVUL_LNC006347)". Lineage: Eukaryota; Viridiplantae; Streptophyta; Magnoliopsida; Poales; Poaceae. The record is from RNAcentral.